Molecule: long non-coding RNA, 48831 nt
Filed under: Ananas comosus (pineapple)
Lineage: Eukaryota; Viridiplantae; Streptophyta; Magnoliopsida; Poales; Bromeliaceae
Description: long non-coding RNA (ACOM_LNC033221)
Source: RNAcentral
UUUUUUUUUUUUUUUUUUUUUUUUUUUUUUUUUUUUUUUUUAGAGAUAGGUAGCACACUAUCCGCUUCGUUUAUUUCAUUUAAAAAUAAAUUUAGCUAGAAAUGUGAAUCAACUAGGAUUCGAAUUUGGGUCUCGGAUGCCAACCACCAAACUCUUUGCCACUUGCUCUAGGGACGGUCGGUUUUAGAACAUGCAUAUUAAUGCUCGGCCUCUCAGGUAGAUUGGGUUUGUUAUGCAAGCCCGUGCUUUGCUUGAAGGGGCAAGUGGGCAGGUGAAGAAAUGUACAAAGUGUUGCAUGUCUGUUGGAUAGCGAAUCGCACUUGCAAAGUUGUUGGCCAAGCCAAGAUAUUGAUCAGGUCAAGUCGAGGACCGAGUCAAAGAAGUUUUCUGGUUCAAGAUCGGUUUUUGGAUUGAUUCUCGAAUACGUCACGAUCAAGCGAUUCGUUUGAAAAGAGAUCAGCUCAAUCAGAUUUAAUUUUCCUUAGUACAACAAGUUGAACUGAGGAUUAAGAGGCACUCGAUCGGCUAAAUGAGCCGAGCUAGUUGUAGCAGGGACUUGAAGCUUAUGUAGACUAAACUAUUUUUGAUCUGAAUUAAGCUAUUCUACUCCUAAAAAAACUCUUAAAAUGUAGAAAAGAAGAGAUAACAAAAGUUUUCUACUUCUAGAAAAUAGAAAUAUUGCUGUAAAUAGAGUGGUUUUCUUGUUCAUAGGGAAUAAAGACCCUUUUUUCUGGCAUCUUCGUGAUAUUUAUAGUACUGCUGUCAGCCUGCAGUUACCGGAUAACUAGCAUCGUGGGGAAUGCUACAGUCGUCUUUUUAUUGGUCUGGGAAAUUACUGCCACGUUUCUUGCCCAUAUUCUUAUUAGUUCGUGCCCAGGGGCUCCUUGUUUUUAGCGGUUCUUGAUGUACCACGUGUUAUAUUUUAAUUUGUCCAUGCUACUUUAACCACAUGUACCAAGCCGCAUACCAGGUAACGCUAUUUUUCUUGUGCCAACAAUGUCAUAAAGCAAAAAAUAGAUAACACAUGCAUCUCUCUUUUGAUUAAGGAACAUUUUGGUCCGAGAGUGUGUUUGGUUGUACGUAAAAUUGGUCCAAAAUCAAUUCUUGGUUAAAGAAAUAAAUUUUCAAAAUUUUAAGUUCAUUGUAAAUGUAGUUUAAUUCGUCGGCGAUCCUACAAAAAGCAGAAACACUUACAUUCCAUCACUCUCUUCUCUCCUCAGUUUCUUCCCCCUAUAAACAAAGAAAGUUUCUUGAAAUUUAUAUUCAAUUUAGGCAUUAAUAAAUGUAAAUUUCCUUUUCCAUGAAAGUUUUUUAAAAUUCUUGAGAAUUUUUUUGAUAGUUUUUUGCAAAACUAAAUCGAGAAGCGUGAAGGAACAAAAAUAAUUUAGGACAAGUUCUCCAGUACAACAUAAUUAAUUUAGAUCCUUAAUUAACAUUAAUUCGCUAUCAAUUUCAAAGCAAGGUUGAGUGUUAUCCGAUUGCUUGCAUCCUCAUUAUCCUAUUUAUGUGGCAUGGAUAUAUUUUUUUUCUAAGAUUGAGUAGAACAUAAUUUUAUACUUAACACUGCAUUUGUAGCCGAGCGAUGCAGGAGUUUGUUUAUCAAGUGUUUGAUCGAUUACAAAUUUCUGUAGUAAAAAUAUAUAAAACUUACAUUAACUAUUACCCUUUCUGAUCAAAUUACUUAACCUUUCAAAAUCUUGAUGAUUUUACGAUUUUACUACCUGACCUUUUUAAUAUAUUUGAUUUGAGCUAAGUAGUAACUUUGUAAAUUCAAAAUUUAAAUGCGUUGUUUAACAUAACAAGUUUCGUUAGUAUAUUUUAUAUAAUUUAUGUAAUUAUAAAUUUAUUAAAGUGAAUCCGAAGAGUCAUUAAAUUAUUUAAAUCAAACAAAUUGGAAGAUUAGAAUCAGAAUCAAAAUUUGGGGAGGUUGGAUAUAGUCGAAUCAAAAUAGUCUACAGUUCCAAGUAAAUUUUAUACUUUUUUUUAAUAUUUAAAAAUGGAAUACGUAAAAAGUAAUGAUGUGGCUUAUUUCUUGAGCUAUUUUUAGGAGAUUUCGGAUAGUAAUUUGAAAAAAACUUUAUGUAUAAUAUUUUGAAUUAAAUAGAAAGAAAUCCAAAUUAUUGUGUUUUCUAAUUUCCCUUGAGAAGAAGCUUUUCCUGUAUAGUACUCUUAUCGAUCCCCUUGGUGGAUUCAUAGGGAGAGAAGAGUAUUGCUUGACCGUCAUGCAUGUUGAUUGAUUCUACACCACAUGGUGGCGAGUUUGCUCGUGUCCAACAUUGUGGAUCUAUGGAGGGCCAAGUGCUUAUUCCCCUAUGCUUGUGCUACCUCUGCAGUCCCUCCUCGGCUUCGGGCCGGCAUCACCUCACACUUGGAUUCAAGACUAUUUAAUAGACCUACACCAUAAUGUAGGUGAAUAGGAGUGUCAAAAAAGUUUGCAGGUUACAAGCCAGCUCGAGCUUGGCUCGAGUUUGGCUUAAAUCAAAAACUCAGCUCCAAAACUUCAAAAUGAUUGGUUGUAUACAUGAAUUAUUUAUGAUAAUAGUGUACAGCACAAUAUUAUUAUCUGUUCUCGUCUGGUGAUAUUGUAUACUUUGAGUUAUAAAAUGUUAGGGGUUCAUAUUCCUCCACGGUUUGAAUUUGAUCAUUAGAUCGAAUUAACUGUUUAUAUUUAAAACUAAAUAUGCUAAAAGGUGAUGUAUUAUUAAAAUUUUAUAUUCAAAAGAAAUUACGUAAGUAUAAGCUAGCCAGUAGUAAAUUCAAUAUAUAUUUAGAAGUCGAAAGAAACAAAAGUUCUUAAGUUGCAAGCAAAUUGUUCAUUAAUAUUUUAUAUUCAUCAAAAGGCAAUUACAUGAGGAGUAUAGAUAAGCCAGCACGCAGUAAUUAAGUAUCAAAAAAGUUGAAAGAAACAAAAGUGCUCCAUCUACUUACUGUUGCAUGUAAUAUUGUUUUAGAGGAAGAAAAGGAAAGUGUUAAUUGCACAAUUCUGAUUACUGAGAGAUAACUUGUACAGUACAGGAGGGACAAGAUCUCUAUUCUACUGCAAGAUCUCCACUGUGCACUUUACUUAUCCUUAGAAGGAAACAAGUGACUGGAUCUGAGAUAUCAGCUUAUUCAAUUGUAAGGUUGCAAGGGAUCGACAUGGAACGUGGUCUGCUAGCCCUAGUUUUAUUCUUAAAGAUUUGUUUUUAGUUUCUGAAAACGAAAUAACGUAUGAUGUUUAAUCUACCAAGAUUAGAAGACUAUCAAGUUAACAAAGUUUUCUAAUAUAAGUCAAAUGUGUAAGUAUGUAUCCGCAUUGUGUUAAUUGCAUUGGUAGCUUAUAAAUUUUUAUUAAAUGACCCUAGUGGCCUGUAAACUCCAACAAAUAUACCAAAUUUAUUCAUUUUAUCAUUUUAUGUCGAUUUUAUUCAUGAAAUAAUAAUCUGAAUACCAGAUAAUAAGCGACCUUACCAUUUAGCUCCUCAAAGCAAAGCUUCUUUUAAUGCCAAAUAUCCUUUUUAAUUAAUGGAAAAUAAAAAAUUUAAUGGAAAGUACUUUUUUUUUUUUCAAUAUCCAUACAUCAUCUUACUAUCAAUGAACUUGAUUAAUUAAUAUCAUAAAAAGGAAUGGGUCAAUUUAACAUAUUAUUAAAAGUUUAGUGAAGCAUUAACCUUACACAUAUUCUUCAAGUUAAUUUACUAGAUCUAGGAUAAUUUAAUUACUCUCUUCAUACAUCUACCUAUUAAUGGGUGGGACCAAAUAAAUGGAUAGAACUAAUAAGUAUUCCACAUGGCAAUGAACACAGUCGUGUUCCAUUUCAUGGUUCACUCGCAUAGAUUGUGGGGACAACUUUUGACGAUAUUUUUCGGCUUCGAAAGAUACAUGCAAAUAGUUUUUUGGAUUGUAUAGCACUUGCAAACUUAUAGUAAUUAACUAAUAAAGGCAAAUGUCAAGAGGUAUACCACCAUCGGUACUAACGAGUUAGAUUUGUUCGCUGUGUUCAUUUUCUCCAUGCUAUAUAUGGAACAACUUAAUUCGUUACUUCUUAGCAACUUUGUUCGUCUAAAAAGGAACAAAGAAAUGUUCCAAGCUCAGGAGAGUUGUUAGAAUAUGGUGGAAACUUGUUGUUUCUAAUUAGUAAGUGUGGGAAAUAAUAGCCACAUGACAAACUGGAUGUAUAAACAAGUUCGCUCCUCGACCUAGCUAAUGGAAUUUCACAUACAAGAAUUUUGAAUAAUACUAAAUAAUUAUAUAUCUUUAAAAUAACAAAUCGUUCAAACUCUUGACAUCGACAUCUAAGUUUGAUUUGUUUUGAGAGAUAGGCUAUCUCUAGAACUAAGAAUAUUGAUCACUUUUCAUUCUUGCAAGCUUGACCCUGUUCAUGCACCAAAAUGUUUAUUUGGAAGGUUAACAUGGCCGUUAAAUAAUCACACUAGCUUUUUGUCAAAUCUUUUUUGAUUGGAAAAUAAUGUAAAUUACUUUUCUUAAUUUCCACCGUUUCAAUCAUCAACCUAGCUAAUAGUUACAGUAACUACACCAAGAACAUUGAAAGGAAAGAAAUUACAACUGAUCAAAAGUUCCAAUCAAAAUUUGAAAAAUACAAGAAUAGGAAAACUCAAUACCAAUUCUAAACUCAAGGGUACAAGUCCAUGAUACAUAAUCACAAUAUAAUAAAGAUAAUUAUAACUGAAAAGUAAAUCCUAUACUAGCAACUAAUAUCCAAAGCAUAAACUAUCUAGGCAUUAAUUAACCGUGUCCUCACGCAGUGUCUCAAUUAAUCCUCACCCCCAGCAAUAUCUAACAAAACAGAGGGAGUAAGAAACAUAUAAAUAUAUUUUUUAGUAGGUACAACCAGCGGCUGAAGACAAGCCGCACUUAGUGGUCAAUAAAAGAGCACGAUAAAGGAAUAACAGAUAUAAGGAUAACCGAUUACUGUCGCAUAAAGAUAAGCAUGUAAAGAUUAUGAAAGAAAGUAGGGAAAACUUCAAAUACCACUCUUGUGGUUUUGCGCUUUCUUACUUUUGUACCUUGUGGUUUAAAAUGUAUUACUUUCGUACCAUGUGGUUUUAUUUUUUUCGUUCUGUUAUUCCCUCUGUUAAUUUUUUCAUUAAAUCGGUAACUGUUGGCGCCACAAAAAUGGUGCCACGUGAAAAAAACAAGCAGAACCACGUGGCCAAAACACAAGGACCACAUACAAAGCCACACGUGGCACACCUGGAGUUGAGAGAAGCAUGCCUAAAACGAGAAAGCGGUUUUAGGCGAAACCAAAGACAUGGGGAGAAACGGUCAAGGCACAAUUUGAGGAAACAGUGACAUGGACGAAAAUAUAUCCCCACGAUAAGAUUAGCUAAAUAACAAUAAACAGAAUUAUAAAUAAAUAAAAAUCGCCUAAACAAACGGUCUUUUCCGCGUACAAGCGACCACCGCAAUUUCAAUUCCUUUGUUUUCCGCUCUUAUCGCUUUUGUAGGAGUAGUCUAGUAAAGUAGAUUUUCUUGUUAGCUACAAUAAGUUUUAUUAUUUUUCCUGUAAUUAGGGCUUAGUAAGUUAGUGGUAGGACUUAUCUUCCUGCAUAUCCCAAUUCUUUUGAAAUAUAUUGAAGUCACUUGGCUCAUUCAACCAAGUUAGUAAUAUAUCAAGUGCUCGGGCUCGGCUAAGCGGAUUCCUCAUCAGCCAAUCACUUGAUUCUAUCUAGGGCACAUUCGAGGGUCAUCAUCAGGAGCCCACCCCUCUCCCGACUCACUUUCCGAAGGAGAGUUUUGACCAAGUCAACGGUCUAGAACUUCGGCUUAUAGUAAUUUUUGGUACCCCUAGUAGGACACACUCUGGUAAAUUCCAAUCUACUCUUUAUCUCAUGGCUGACAAUAGCGCGAUGAACCUCCAAAACAAAGUUAUUCCCAAACCUUCAGGAAAUGAUCAAGUUAGUCCGAAAAUGCAAAUGAGCAUUAGGCUGUGUUACUGGCUAAGGGUGAGAAUAGUGAACACUCGGCUCAGCAGGAGCCGAAUCUAACUCAGGCACUCAGCCAAAUGACUCGUCCUACAUUCUUUAGAUCAUAAUAACUAUCAAAGUACCGCUCGACUGGACAUGGUGCUAGCCGCUAUCAUGGCCUCCAACGAAAACAUUGCUCGAACCUGACAACUACUAGCCCGAAAUGAGCAAAUUUACAGAGGUCCAUAAGGACCCCUAACUGCGUCGGCACCAUAAAAUCCUAUUGUGCUAGUAGUCACACGAGCACAACCGCAAAUGGCGCCUUUCCAGGCUGCUUAUAGACCGACAAAUAUAAACGCCAGUCCGCAGCUAGAGAUCGCGUAGGGUUUACCUCCCCCACCCUCCUUUGCCAGUCUAUCAGCCCCAAAAUAGGGGUGUGAGGGCUGGGGAGUAAGGCCCCGCUAGGGGGCAGGGCCGCAACGUAUUGCAGGGACUCAACCCUACAAUACAAAACUACGGACCUCCUCCAUGGCCGAAUGUGGCUCCGACCCCGGUUCCUGCCCUAGCAGUAGGGAACAAUGAGCUCUAUGCUCAGAUAGAGAAGGCUAUUUGAAACACAUUUGGUGUAGGGGUAAGGCCUGCAAUGCAGUCCGUAUUUUGAUCCCUAUAUCACGCAAAUGUUGAUAUAGAACAUCCAUAUACGACAAACUGAAAAAUGUCAAAGUUUGACAAGUUCUCGGGCGAUGAGACCGAGAUUACUGUGGAACAUGUCACUCAAUUUACUACCCAGUAUAGAGAAGCGGCCGCUAAUCCAUUCUUUAAAUCGAUUAUUUAACAUAUCAUUAACUAAAAAUGGUGUUCACCCAGUAUACGAGUUUACAUGCUAAUUUUGUCCGAGAGUGGGACGAAUUGGAUAGAAAGUUUUAUGAGCAGUUCUACAGGCCAGAACCAAAAUUUUCAGUGGCCAAGUUGGCCCCAUAUCGACAAAAGUCGAGGAAAAUAGUUGAGGAAUAUUUGAAUUAUUUCAAAACAACCAGGAGUCAGUGUUUUGUAAGAAUGCCAAAAUUAGAAUUCACCAAAAUGACAUUUAAUGGUCAACAUUUCAAGAUAAAAGACCGUUUCGUAUAUAAAUAUUUUUUGAAUUUGUUCAAUUUGGGCGUUUGGGUUAUCCAAUGUGAAUAAUUCAGGAAAGAAAAUAGUGAGGAUUGGCCACAUUGGAGCUGAAACAAGGAAUGGAAUAAAAGAAAAGAGAAGAAUAUCUCUUUCAUUAAAGAGAGAUCGACUCAAGACGAGCCGAAUACGUCUAGCGAGACAGAAGACUCGGCUGACGAGACUGAGGUAUUUGCAGUUGAAAUAGUGAAAAACCGUCAGCUAUAUAAAUGUGAACUCCUUAGGCCAACAAAGGCUAGCGAAACAAUAGCACGAAUGGCGGCAUAUACCUCUUCGUUCGACGUUGCCAAGACCGAUCAAAUAUUCGAUCAGUUAUAUAAGGAUGGAAGGAUAAAACUCCAAGAAGGUCAAACGUUACCUUCAGAAAAGAAACUAAAGAAAAGAAAAUAGUGCAAAUGGCACCACUUGAGGAGCCAUAGAACUAAUGAUUACACAGCCUUUAAAAGACAAAUUCAAAAAGAUUUGAAUGAGGAUCGACUGUUGUUUGCCGACCAAGAAAAUAAAACUAAUAUGGAAGUUGACCAAAACCCAUUUUCCUCGCAGGUCAACAUGGUGGAUAUAAAGAAAAAGAAGCCCAUAUAGAGGAUAAAUUCUAGAAAGAUGUGACAAUGACGCGAAGACUGCUACGGUUUUGCAUUAGAUGCAAAGCCGAGAUGACGCGUCAAGACUGGAAAGCCAUCAUACGUAAGAAAAAGGCGUACGGUGAAUGGAACAAGUUCAUGGCUUUCCCCAAAGACUUGGAGGUACUCGAUGCAGUUAGCCCAUAGUGAUGAAUGCUCAGAGGCUUCCAACGACUCUGAGGAAGAAGUGAACUCUGCCAAAGACGCAAAGGACCUACCAAUUCAAAAGAUCUUAGACGAGUAUUACCAAACCUGAGAGAAGAUGAGCCGAGGGGACUACCCGAGACAACCCUUCGACACUCAACAGAGGCACCUGGGAUAUCGACUCUUAUGGCACCAGCAGCCAAGGCAGAGACUCAAAUUAAAAUCUGUAGGAAUGAUCGAUAGGGAUAUUCAAUUUCUCGGUCGGAGAUUAGUGAAUGAGCUCAACAUCCAGCCAUGGCUGAGACCUUGGGAAAGAUGAGAGAUCUUAAAAGACACCUCAAGAUUGUAAAUGUACCAGCAAACAUGCCAACCAAACAAUGGUUCACAGCAAGAGCGUCGGCCAUAUGGCAUGGGCCGAUGCUAAUGAAGAAGCAAAAGCAGCGAUAACAACAAAGAAUGUAAGCCGAAGGGAGAACUCACUGGAAAGAAGUAAAAAGGAUAAGGCCAAACACUUUGAGACGACCUGUGUAGAAGCUACCCUAUCAGCCCAUGAAGCAUGAUAGUGAAGCGGGCGGUUCAAACCCAGUGCCAUGGUUGAAAUCUAAAGUAGAGCACUCAGCCAGAAUAGAGCCGACAAAGAAGGUCACUCGCAAAGAACUAAAAGAGAAGAUUGCUUUUCUUAAGACCAUCAUUAAGCGAGAGCAAUGGCUACCUAAGGAGAGAGAUUCGGUCGGAGAGUGAUUCUGCAGCCGAAAUAGCAAAAGAAUCUGAAGAGAAAAAAACAGAAGACACAAGAAGCUGUAGCCGAAGGGAAUUCUGCUGAUGUUAGCAUAGUGUACGAUCUACCGCACUCAUUCAAAUCAGAGUCAGUGGAAGCUGAGGAGCAGCCUCAAUAUGGAGAGGAGGUGGUGGUGGCCCAACUCUAGCUUGAAGACUUGAAAGCAGCUGAUGUGGUGGUGUACGAAAACCCAUCGACCCUGCAGACUAGAUUCGUCAGGCCUUUAUACAUCAGAGCAUUGAUAGAGGGACGGCCUGUGGGCCGAGUAAUGAUCGACGAUGAGGUAAUAGUGAAUGUUAUGCCUACAUCAUUUUUCAAGAAACUAGGUAAGAGCAAAGAUGAACUCAAACCCCUUGACAUGACUAUGACCGACUUCAUAGAAAGCGGUCAGCAAGCACCGAGGGUACUGACGACUGAGUUGACGGUUGAAUCCAAGACACCCUUUGGACCGCCUUCUUUGUAGUGAACCGCAGUAGCCACUACAAUUUGCUACUAGGGCGUGAUUGGAUCCACAUCAACGAAUGCGUACCUUCGACCCUGUAUGAAAAGUUGUUUUAGUGGGUCGGGGAACUUGUCGAAGAAAUCACGACUGAAAGGAGGCCGCAGAAGGUAAACAUGAAUGUAGAAGACAUCAGCUAUAUAAAUUGGGCUGCCACGGACCCGGACCAGAUCUCAUUCAUCUGAAUCACUGAAGAAGAAGUGCAACUGGUACUCCUGAAGGAGGCAGAGGCACUGGCGGCUAUAGAGAAGUCGCCGGUUUGGUUAAAAUGAAACAUUAUGAGUCAAGAGACGAGGCUCUAAACGGGCUUUGGCAUGGCAUGUCGAUCGAAGGAAUCGACCAUUUCGAGGGAUCGGCCGUAGCAGUCGAUGGAAAAUCAAAUGCUAAUUGUGCGGCUCAAGAGGCCAGUUGUAAGAAAAAACAGUCUUUGUCAUUCCGUAACUGGGCUAUGGAUCUGAUUGAAGAAACCCCACCCUAUACUGAGGCAUAAUGGGGUGGGGUUAACAAACCCACCCUAUACUGGGGUGGGUUAACAAACCCCACCCGUAACAGUCUUUGUCAUUCCCAAACAGAGGCAUAAUGGGGUGGGGUUAACAAACCCCACCCUAUACUGGGUUAGUGGUCAUGAUGAGGGGUUUGUUAACCCCUCCCCCUCACGCCCUCGAAUUUCAAACUGAGCCCCGCAUCAUUGCCCCUUCACUGUAGCUCUUCUCCUCCAGACCUUCUCCCCGUUCCCCUUCUUCCCCUUUCUCACCCCCGAAUCUACCUUCUCCCCAACCCCAACCACUCCGGCCGAAGCCUGCACUGCCGGACUUGCCUCCUCCCGACGCCCCCUCACCGCUGGAUCUGCCUCCUCCCGACCCCUCUCCACUCCGGCCCGAAACCCUUCCUCGAAGCCCUUUCACCUACGGAUCUGCCUCUCUCCGUCCGACGCCCUUCACCGCCUGCCCGAAGCCCUUCCCCGAAGCCCUCUCACUGCCGGAUCUUCCUCCUCCCGACCCUUCUCCACUCUGGCCAGAAACCCUUCCCCGAAGCCCCUUCGGAUCUGCCUCACUCCGAUCGACGCCCUUCACCGCCGGUCCGAAGCCCUUCCCCGAAGCCCCCUCACCGCUGGAUCUUCCUCCUCCCGACCCUUCUCCACUCCGGCCUGAAACCCGUCCCCGAAGCCCCUUCGGAUCUGCCUCACUCCGGCCAACGCCCUUCACCGCCGGCCCGAAGCCCUUCCCCGAAGCCCCCUCACCGCCGGAUCUUCCUCCUCCCGACCCUUCUCCACUCCAGCCCGAAACCCGUCCCCGAAGCCCCUUCGGAUCUACCUCACUCCGGCCGAUGCCCUUCACCACCGGCCCGAAGCCCUUCCCCGAAGCCCCCUCACCGCCGGAUCUUCCUCCUCCCAACCCUUCUCCACUCCAGCCCGAAACCCGUCCCCUAAGCCCUUUCGGAUCUGCCUCACUCCGGCCGACGCCCUUCACCGCCGGCCCGAAGCCCUUCCCCGAAGCCCCCUCACCGUCGGAUCUUCCUCCUCCCGACCCCUCUCCACUCCGACCGAAGCCCUUCACAUCUGGCCCGAAGCGCUUCUCCGAAGCCCCUCCACCGCCGGAUCUGCCUCCUCCCGACGCCUCUCCACCCUGGCCGAACCUUUACCUCUGGCCCGAAGCCCCCUCACCGAAGCCCGAUCACCUCCGGCCCGAAGCCCCUUCACCUCCGCCCGAAGGCUCUCACCGCCGGCCGAACCCCUCUACCCCCAGGCUUCUCCUCCGCCCGAAACCCCUUCUUGUCCCUCCGGCCGAAAUUCGUAUUUCUCGUCGCCACGGGUUGGACUGUGUUGUGUCCGCGCGAAGCGAGUUAUCUUGUUGGUCACCAGUUGUAAGCUAAUCGGGCAGCAUGUUGUCCCAUUAUUUGCUCUGCUCCUCGUGUUGGCCGAACCCUGUGUUUGGGGCUUGAUUGGCCGAGGUUGGCCGAGGUUCUGAAAGCUUGCUCGGUGCUUCUUCAUUGUUGGUUGUGUCCGCUGCGCGACGUCUGUGUGCUAUAAUCAGGUUUGAUUUCAUGUUUUACCAACCAAAAAUAUGAAUGCCAUCAUACAUAUUAAUACAUUUACAUGACGGCGUCGCAAAUGCCGAUACUCAUCAGUAGAUCGGAACUAAUGAAAUUGUAUGCUUUCGGUUGAGAGGGCGUUAUGUUAUAAGAUCUUCUGUUGCAUUUUCAAUAAAUGCCUGAUCUGUUGCCCCGGCUAGUGUAAAUUUUUCGUAUUUGAAAUCACCGUGUUAUUGUUCCUCUCGGAUGUCAUGAUGAAGAAUUGUACGAUAACUCAGCUAGAAAAAUAUUGGUUAAAUACUUGUUGUUCGGCGAUGAUGACGGUUUCCAAUUAACAUCAGAAGGAUGGCAUCAAUGGAAACAUCGAUGCAACCCUAUGUUAGUUGGAAUCCACUUGAGCCAAUUGUGGGAACGAACCAUCAAGACCAUAUUUCGCGGACCAUGCAUUUUUACAUAGGAUACAAAUAUUGCAUGAAACAUUAACUCUAUCCAUAUUUUUAUCAUAUCAUUCAAUCCUUUAUUAUAUAUAGUCUACUUGGUAGUAGAAAAUAACAAUUGCAUCAGUAUAUUGUGUAUGCAAUGCUUAUACAUCAUGUUACUAACCCCGCCAAUUUAAAUAGCAUGUAAUAUCGUAUAUACGUUCUAUGCAUCCAUCAUGCACUAUUUUUAAUUAUAAACUACAGAUGAGUCCAUUCAAGAAAGUUUCUAAGUCCAAACAGAAGCAACAUGGGUUCGCAGAUGAGUCACCUAUUGAGCCUAGCGGUGGCAUUCGUAUUGAUACAAGAACUAGAAGUCAAAAUUGGAGCAACAUUUUGGAUGCACAAUUAUUGGGACUUAUGAGAGAUGAACAUACAUUUGGUAAUUACGUAAAUGGGUCAUUCACUCCGAUUGCGUGGAAGCAGAUGGUAAAUGAUUUCAACAGUCGAAACAAUAUGAACCUAACAAAGACACAAUUGAAUAAUCGAUUUAAAGUGUUAAAAAAAGUUUUCAAUUUGUACCAUUCUCUUGCCAACAAGAGCGGGUGGGGAUGGAACUCUGACUUGCACAUUCCCACACCUGGUGACGCAAGAAUCUAGGAUUCUGUAAUAGCGGUAAUUACAAUUUCUUUUAUAAUAGCAUUAUUGUCUUAGUAAGAUAUGUACAUUAUAUGAUAGUAUUAAAUUAUUAAUAUUAUUACUUCAGGAGAAUCCGGCGUACGCCAGGUGUAGGGAUAAGCCCUUUCCCGCCUACGAUGAUAUGGAAUUUCUUAUCCAAAAUACAACUGCGACAGGAAGAUAUGCAUUUACAAGUGCUGUGGAGCUUCCCCCUAUAAUUGAAAGCUCCUCUGGGUCAUCCACUGGUGAGGAUGAUACUAUUGCCGGCAUUGGAAUGUCAGCUUGUAAUCUCUCAUCAGACCCAUUCGAAGCAGGGGGGUCUGGGUGCGCCAGAAAUGCUAACUUUGAUGAAGCAAAUACGUCACGCUCCCCAAGCCCUCCCGUGAUGCCUACAACUGGUGCAAGUGGUUCUGGUCAUAGCUCUGGUAGUAAAAGAGCUCGUUCUCCAGAGCGUAGCAAUAAGCAAGCACAAACGGCAUCUACAUCUGGGGGACGAAAAAAGAAAGUAGCUGUCCGGACUUCUGCUUACCUUGACAUCGCGUAGCAGGGUAAGGAAAAGCUUAGUUGGGUGCGGCAACUAUGUCAGCUAGAGCUGAGCAAGAGCACUGAUAUGCCAUCGCAGAACCAAUGCAUGCAACGAGUGUAUGGAAUGACCGGAUUAAGUGAUGAUGAUAUCUUAGUUCUCUGUGAUGCGUUUAAGGAAGAUAAGAAUCGCAAUACUUUCAUGUCAUUGAAUGACAAGCAUGCAAGAGAAUGGGUUGAGCGAGAAAUUGCGCAACAAAAUCUAUACUAUAGGCCGCCAUUUUCCGGGACUUAGACAAAUGGCGUAUUGGUAGUUCUUCUUUAUCAUAUCUCGACCUAUAUUGCGUGUGGACGUACAUAUUUUAUAGCUUGUGGUGGUAUUGGUAAUUCUUCUUUAUCUGAGCUUUGCAUAGUUUCUACCUUGUAGUGGUGACUCUUGAUUGUAUGACGCUUUGAUUUAUGUUUCCUUUACUCUUAUUAGCUUUGCAUAUUUUUCUACUGUUGGAAGAUUAUGAUAUGUUUGCGCCAUAUAUAUUACCUCUUGCUAUAGUUAUAUGUUCGUGUGUAUUUAUUUAUUUUUGUUAUUUAUUAUUAAGUGCCGAUUUAAUCGCCAUUUACAACAGUUGCAAUUAGAAAGACAUUAAUGGUGAACCCACUAUACAAAAGAAUUUUUUCUUCAGCGACCAUAUCCACCAUUAUGACAAUAUUAGAUGACGAUGAUGAAUCUAUCGAGACUAUGAUGCUACUUGAGUUAGAAUCUGAACUAGUUGCAAAUAGAAUACCCAGACAAAGGUGUCGGACUCGGCCGUUUACCGGACAUCAAAUAUUGUGUGAUAUUUUAUCUAGUCAUCAUGAACGUUGCCGCCAUCACUUUCGUAUGAGUGUAACUACAUUUAUUGCACUCCGCGAUACUUUAGUCGAGAGGGGGUUAAUAAAUAGCACAAGAAAUAUUACUGCUAAUGAGCAGUUAGCUAGGCAUAUUUCUAUAUGGCGUAGGGCAUGGCGUAGCAAACCGAAUAUUGGCAGAAACAUUCCAACAUGCUGGAGAAACCAUCAGUAGGCAUUUUAACAAUGUACUACGCGGCAUUGUGAGGCUAAAAGAUGACUACAUAAUGUUGCCGUCAAGUAAUGCUGCCGUGCAUCCAAGAAUUCGGGAUAAUCCAAAUUUUCAUCCUUUCAAGGUAACCAUACACACGGUUAUAAGUUGCGUCUUUUAUAGUAGUGUUAUAUAUAGUAAUUAUGUAUAAGGUAUUGUCCGAUUCGUUCAUAAUGUUUCGUAUAGGUAGAGUAUGUAGUAGUAGAAUGUUAACAGUUUAUUGUUAUAUUGGUGAUGUGAGUUAAGAUGGUUUAUAGUUAUAUUAAUAGAUUAAAUAUAUUUGAAUAUAAGAUCACAAGGUGUUAACUAAACAUUAUAAUCGUGCAUCUAGGAGUGGUAAAACCCUCAGGAGUUAAUGAGGGUGAUUUAGCCGGUGAUAUGGAAGUAAAAGUCGCAGGACAAGUAGACGUGGGAGUAGUCUUUUUUACAAUAGUAAACGAACCACUGCUGCUUACUUCAAUACAUAAUAUGUUGUACGAUAUCGUUAAUUCGUAACUUGAAAUAUGCUUUUGCCACAACGAUGUAAAUCUUAAAACUUUGCGAAGAAGUUUUACGGUUUACAGGAGAGUUGGUGUAAAGAAUUAACUCGUACGGCCACCAAUGUGUUUAGAGCACCUAAAGCUACUUGCGCCCGGGCACACGAACGUAGUUUGACUGAUUAUACCAUUGCGAGAGGAGAUAUCCCACGUUCUUUAAAAAGUCAUAAACAUAUAGGGCUCAGUUGAUUCAUUAUGAACGGACGUUUAUUAUAUUAUUGGUAUACAGUAAUCAUAUUUUUUAAAUAGAUGUUAUCACAAGUAUAUAUAAAUUUAGAUUGUUUUUUAAAUAAUCGUUGUGAUGGAAGCCCUUGUUGUUUUGGUGGACAAAGUGUACGGGUAACUUCAUGAGAGUAUAGCCGUCGUCUCGGAAGGGUAGGACACGUAUGUUUAUUUUUUAAUUCUAGUUUACUGUGGCGUCGGUAGUAUAAAACACUACACUUGGGAAAAGCUGUAGCUUUACCCCAAACAAAUGAGGAAAGCUGGUGAUGACCUUAUACACAAGGCAGCUAGCGUGGUUAUCGUAAGAUGUCAAAUGUUUUCUUUUCUAUUUUUAUAAUCAUUAUUUAAAAUAAAUAUGUGGUUACAUAAUAUGCAUAUGNUGUUAUGGAAUAUGUAUUAAUGAUAUAUAUUGUGAUGAUAUUUUCUGCGUUGAAUAUUGGAAGGUAGAUAUGUUGGUAGAUAUUCUAAUUUUUUUACUCUGUUAUAUAUUUGUACUCUUUCAAAAUAUUUUGGUUGUAUAUUUUUUUAUUUUUGAUUCAAUAUGUUGUUAUCUUUGUAAAUAUUCGUUGAUGUGCAGAUUGACUUGAUGUACAUAAAUAUUUCUGAAUUAUUACUGAUAUUCGAAUAGCAAUGCAAAGUUUGAAAGAUCGAAAUAAAUCGGAUUUGAAAACGCCUAACGAUACUCAACUCCACUAGGGGCUAAAUUUGAAAGGUUGGAAAUUAAUAUUUUUGGAGGGUAAAAUGAUAUUAUAACUAAAAUAUUAAUUGUAGUUUAGGAAAUACUAUUGUUAGUGAAAUUUAUAAAUAUGACAAUUUUAAUAUUGUUGUUUGAAAAUUUGAGGAAUUUUUUAAAAUUACAAAAGAGUAGUGAAAAAUAAUUUUUGGUACACAAUUACGCAAAAAUUUAUAUAAUUUUAAUCCUCAUUAUCCUUCUUUAUCAAUCAUUAUCUUCUUAUCCCACCUACUCCAACCAAUCAUUAUCCUUCUUUAUCCUUCUUUAUCAAUCAUUAUCUUCUUAUCCCACCUACUCCAACCAAUCAUUAUCCUUCUUUAUCAAUCAUUAUCUUCUUAUCCCACCUACUCCAACCAAACACUAUUUUUCAUUAUUCUAGACUAACUCCAACCCCCAACCAAACACAAAAAAACUUUAACCCCACUUUAACCCUGAACUUAACCCUAUCCCUGGAAUAGCUACUUUUUCCUUAACCCCAAACCAAACAGAGGCAUAGAGUUUGACUGGGCUACUAUCGGCAGUAAACUGCUCGGUUUACUAUCGAUUUGUUUUUGAUGAUAGAGCUUCCAAAUCGACGAUCGGCACCAUUGAACAUGAUCUAGACCAUUUAAAUUACCUAGAAAUCAAAUUUCAUGAUUUUUUGGCACCACUAACUGAAUAAUCAAAGGGUCACAAAAUCUAUAAUUUUAAUGGCCGACAUGGAGCGUUUGCUCGUUUAACGGUAUAGAAGAGUUUAAAUCAACUAAAUUUUUAUUAAAAAAUUCUUUAAACUAUUUAAAAUAAGAUCUAGACUCUAGAUCUCAAAUAUAAAAUUUGUAUUAUCACUUUUUGAAGGAUAUUCAUUUCCAGCCAUUUAUUUUUCUGUUCACUUGAUGGACAAGAGAACAAUAUCGAAAAUGUGUGAAAUUUGAUUUCUAGAUAGUUUAAAUAGUUUAUAUCAUGUUUAACGGUGCCGAUCAUCAAUUUGGAAGCUCUAUUAUCGAAAACAAAUCGGUAGUAAACCAAGCCGUUUACUACCGAUAGUAUACCAGCCUAGCUCUAUAUAUAUAUAUAUCAAUUCGCGUUUUCCGAAGAAAAUGACAGUUCAACACUCUGGGGUCUAUCAAGAUAUAUAUUCUAUAUUAUCCCGAUUUGAGAAUCGAGCCGAAUUUGUAAAACCCACCACCAAUCUGGGUUCUCCAAUUUUCUUAAUUCGCACGAUCCUGCCCUCAUCAGGAUCCUACCCACUGGAAGACUCUUCAACCCCGCAGUGUCAACUAUAGUCUCGGUUAAUGGUCAGCCUUCAUACUCUACUCAGAGCCAACUCGGCCCCAGCCUUACUGUUCCGAUCGCUCUGCUCAGAGUGUAGCGGACGAUGAAUACUCAGACUCAGACUGCUCUUGCAGUACUGCAUUUCUCCCUCUCUAACACUCUAGGGUCUAUCAGGAUAUAUAUUCCAUAUUAUCCCAAUUUGAGAAUUGGGCUGAAUUCGUAAAACCCACCACCAAUCCGGGUUCUCCAAUUCUCUUAAUUCGCACGAUCCUGACCUCAACAGAAUCCUACCCACUGGGAGAUCUUUCAACCCCGCAGUGUGUUCAAAAAUCAAAAACCUAAUUAAGGAAAGUAGUAAAGAUUGGUAGCCUAAUUUAUAAUAUUGGGUGGGUCACCCCUAAUGAGAGGCUCUGAUUAUAGUAGAAUUGAAAUGUUAAAGAAUAGGUUCCCAAUUUUUAAACUAUCGUUUUUCUUGUAAAACGAUAGCUAUCAUAAGAUCGAAUCGAGAGAGAGAUAGAGAGAGAGAGAGAGAGAGAGAGAGAGAGAGAGAGAGAGAGAGAGAGAGAGAGAUAUAUAUAUAUAUAUAUAUAUAUGAGAUAGAAUACUAUUAAUAGUAUUUGGACUAUUUUGCUAUUAAUUUUUUAAUUAUUAAAUCUACACAAUCAAUCACACCCUUUAGAUCAUACUAUUCAACCAACCACCCACUCAAUCAUAGAGAGACCACCAUUAAAUCCCAGGAGACGCUAUCAUUUUAACCUNCACACGAGGACUCUCGUGUGUUCUAGAUGAGCCCUCCGUACUCCUGAGCCGUUUUCGAUGAUAGGACUCCCGAAUCGACGAUCGGCUUCACUAGACUUGAUCUAGCAUAUUUGAAAUAUGUAGAAAAUAAAUUUUACGAUUUUUCGAUAUCGUUUACUUAGUGAUCGAAAAGAUCCAAAAUCAACAAUUUUUAAUCGUUGAUAUAUGCCGUUUCAAGUUUAACGAUGUAGAAGUAUCCAAAUCAGAUAAAAUUCUGAUAGAAAAUUAUUUAUACUAUCUACAACAAGUUCAAUAUCUCUGAUCGAAAAUUUUAGUAAUAUAUCACCACUUUUUAUGAGAUUUUUAUUUUCAACCAUUGAUUUUGAACUCUUUCAAUCACUAAGUAAACGAUAUCGAAAAAUCGCAAAAUUUAUUUUCUACAUACUUCAAAUAUGCUAGAUCAAGUCUAGUGGAGCCGAUCGUCAAUUCAGGAGUCCCAAUAUCGAAAACGGCUCAGGAGCACGAAGGGCUCUGUGCUCCUGAGAGCACAGCAACCUUGCUCUAUAUAGAACUAGGCUGGAAUACUAUUAAUAGCAUCAAGCUAUUGGUGCUAUUAAUUUUUUAGCCCUUAGAUUAAGAAAUGUGCAGUUAGGAUGAUGUGGGUCCUCUAGGGUUGAGUAGGUAGUUAGUUGAAUAGUAUAAUCUAACGGAUAAAAAUAAUUAAAAGGUUAAAUUUAUUGGCGAAAAAUUCGAUAGAACCAAAUCCUUGGUGCUAUCGAUAGUAACACAGCCGGACUAUAUAUAUAUAUAUAUAUAUAUAUAUAUAUAUAUAUAUACAGAGAGAGAGAGAGAGAGAGAGAGAGAGAGAGAGAGUACGUCUCCCGUGCUUUCGAAAGUACGGAGGCCUCCGUGCUUGUAAGUUGUUUUCAAUGAUAGGACAUCCAAUUCGACAAUAAGCUCCGUUAGGCAUAAUCUAUGCUAUUGGAACUAUCUAGAAACCAAAUUUUAUAAUUUUUCGACUUCAUUUACCAAGCGAUCAGGGGGUCUCAAAAAUGACUAUUUUAACGGCCGAUGCGGCACGUUUUUAAGUUCAACUGUGUAGAAGUAUCCAAAUUACAUGAAACUUUAAUAGAAAAUUCUACUUAACAUCAAGAGUAAGAACAAUACUUCCGAUUUGAAAUUUGAGUCCUUUAUCAUUGUUUUUUUAUGAGAUUUUUAUUUUCAACCGUUCAUUUUGAGGCUACUCGUUCACUAGGCAAACGAAAUUAAAAAAUUAUGAAAUUUGGUUUCUAAAUAGUUCUAAUAGCGUAGAUCAUGUCUAACAGAACAGAUCGCCGAAUUGGACGUCCCAUCAUCGAAAACAACUUACAAGCGCGGAGAGCUCCGUACUUUCGAAAGCAUAAGAGCCUAGCGCUAUAUAUAUAUAUAUAUAUAUAUAGAGAGAGAGAGAGAGAGAGAGAGAGAGAGAGAGAGAGAGAGAGAGAGUGAAGAGAGAGAGAGAUAGAGAGAGAGCUAUAGGUAGAAUACUAUGCGUAGCAAAAUGUUCUUUUACGCUAAUCAAAUUUGUUAAACAGGGACCCUUGGUAAGAAUUGUAAAGUUAAGAUGAUAUUAAGUCUCGGAGAGUAAUCCCACUGGGUGGGUUUAAUAUUUAAUCCGAUGGCUAGAAUGAUGAAAGGAAUUAAUUCCAAAACCUAAAAACAGGUUGUGUGACGCCCACACUUUCUUAAUGAGGUCACCCAUCCUAAGACAACUCCAGUCCUAGGCACGCUUAUGCUCUAACCUUGGGCCUACCACCACCCAAAUGCUUAAGGUCGGGUUAAGAGUUUACCCCUAUUAUAACGCUUAUAAUAGGACUAUCUGGGAUCUCAUCAAUCUCUCCCUCUUUACGUAUGACGUUCGGCAGACUCAGACUCAUAAGUAGCAGGGAUGUGAACCGUCUCGCUAGCCUUGUCAUUAUUCGACCCCGGCUAACCGACGACUCUCUCAUAACUUCCGACUGGUAUUGGCUCUGAUAUAACUGUGACGCCCCAACUUUCCAGAAAGGUCACCCAAUCCUAGGACACUCCGUCCUAGCAGCGCUAAUUCUUUUAACCUCUUGGGUCAACCACCACCCAAAAUGUUUAACGGCCGAGCUAAGAGUUUAGGCCCUAUUAAUAUCUUAUAUAUAGAACAUCUGGGGUCUCACAACUGACAGUAAAAGAAGGCCUUCGCUAACUAUAUAUAUAUAUAUAUAUAUAUAUAUAUAUAAUUAUAUUAAAUAUAACUAUAGAGAUCUUGUGUGCUGCUCUCAGGAGCACAGAGAGAGAGAGAGAGAGAGAGAGAGAGAGAGAGAGAGAGAGAGAGAGAGAGAGUUGAGCUAGAAUACUCUCAAAAGCACCAAGAGGGUGGUGCUUUUGAGUUUUUAACUAUUGGAUGGAGAGAUGCGGGGUUGAGAUGUUAGUGGUAAGUGGUGGUAGGUGGAAUAAUGUUUGAUCCAAUGGGUAUUAGUAAUUAAAGAGUAGAUCCAAGGGCUAGAAACUUAGAAGCACCAAGAGAUUGAUACUUCUAAAAAAAUUCUAGCUCAAUUAUAUAUAUAUAUAUAUAUAUAGCAGGAUUGCUGUGCUCUCAGGAGCACAGAGGCCUCCGUGCUCCUAAGCCGUUUUCGAUGAUGGAAUUUUCAAAUCGUCGAUUGACUCCGUUAGACUUGAUCUACCGUAUUUGAAGUUUGUAGAAAAAAUAAUUUUUGCGAAUUUUUGAUAUCAUUUACCUAGCAAUCAGAAGGAUUCAAAAUUAAUAAUUUUUAACGGCUGAAAAUAAAAAUUCUUUAAAAACUGGCGAUAGGGCACUAAAAUUUUCGAUCAAAAAUAUUGAUCUUGUUGUAGAUAGUAUAAAGAAUUUUGUAUUAAAAUUUUAUCUGAUUUGAAUAUUUCUACACCGUUAAACUUGAAAACGGCAGGUAUCAACUAUUAAAAAUUAUUGAUUUUUAACCCUUUCGAUGAUCACUAGGCAAAUGAUAUCGAAAAAUAAUAAAAUUUAUUUUCUAGGUACUCCAAAUACUCUAGAUCAAGUUUAACGGAGCCGAUCGACGAUUCGAAAGUCGCAACAUCGAAAACGAGCUGGAAGCACGGAAGGCUCCGUGCUUUCGAUAGCAUAGUAGCCUCACUCAUUGAAAAUAAUUUGAUAGCACGGAGGUCUUCGUGCUACCAAUAGUAUGCCAGCCUAACUAUAUAUAUACAAAAAAUUAUAAUAAAAAAUUAAUAUUUAAAAAUUAGGUCCAACUGUGAUUCGAAAAUAUUACUGGAUCAAGAAUUACAUGAACCAAUUAAUGACGUCAGCAUAAUACCAUAAAUAUUUAUUUAUUAUUUUUAGACGUGCAGUCUCAGUAACACAUGCAUGUUAAGUUGGUCCUGGCAUCAUUAAUUAGGCUAUCAUGUGGUCAGAGGUGGAAGAACCCACCAAAAAUAAGAAAUUAAUUUGUCAAAGUGCACAUGUAUCCCUGUAAAUUUUAAAAAUUGAGUAUGAGUGCUCAAUAAGAAAAUAAUAACACUUUCAAAUAGAAAAAAAAAUUUAAAAUAUUAUUAUUCGAUAGCUAGCUUAAGAUCUGAAUAUUUAUUUUCAUGAUAAUAUAUUUAAUCUGAAAAUAUGAACCACUGAAUUUAAUAAUAUUUUAAAUUUAAUUAACAAAAACCAUUCAAUUUGAAAAGCCAAAUUAACUCAAAAUCUAAUUAAGGAGGUGCUAGCUUGUGGGAAAAAAUAAAGUUGACAAAGUAGUUUAGCACGAGAUCUUAUAAAAAAAGAAACUUUAAAUAUCCCCCUAUAGUUUAUGGCGCUUUUUUUUUAAGUAUAAUGUGGUCUAAAGUAUAUUAUUUUAGUAUCCUACAGUUUUAUUUUUCUCUUUUCGUCAGCAACUUCGUUAAAAUAUAUAAAUAAAACUUCAGAUACCGUCCUAUAAUUUAUCAAAUAUUUAUUUUAGUAUCUUAUAAUUUACGAAAUUUUUAUUUUAGCAUAAUGUGGUUUUAACUUCAGUUAGUAAAUUCGCGAAUAAUUCAUGAAUUAUUCGUGAAUUUUUGAAAACGCGAAUUAAACUGCCGCAUCAGUAUUUUUCAGAAAAAUUAAAAGAAUAUAUAUAUUUUUUCGUCAAAAAUAAUUAUUCGCGAAUUAUUCGCGAUUCACGAAUGAUUCGCCCCAAAAAAAAAGAGCUGGCGGUUGCGGACUCGCGGAUCGCGGCUUCGCCGAAGUCGUCCUUGUCGUCGUCGUCGUCGUCGUCGUCGUCGUCGUCGUCGUCCUCCGCCGCCCUGGCCGUCGCCGGGAGCAAGACGGCCGCGGCAGCAGAUCACGUCUCGCCCGAGGGCGUCACCUCGUGGACAAAUUCGUCUUCGUUUUCCGCUCCAUUCAAACGGAAAAAGAAAAGCAACAGGAAAAAUGGCGGGGUUCAUGCUGCAGGAUUCAUGCCAUUAUGCACGCGGUCCAUGAGGUGGGCUUCACCUCGUGGACCGCCUGAGAGAGAGGUCCACUGGACCUCUCUCUCUUUGGAUAUAUAUAUAUAUAUAUAUAUAUAUAUAUAUAUAUAUAUUAUUUUUUAUAUAAAUACAUUAUUAUAUAAUAUUUAUUAUAUAAUAUAUUUUAGAUAUAUUUUAUUUAUAAAUAUAAAUUAUAUUAACUAAAUAUAUUAUGUGAACUUUCUAUAUUUUAUAUUUAAAUAUAGAGCAUCUUAAUCUCUUAUUGCUUAAUUAUUUAUUUAUUUAUUUUGAGACAUAAUAUAGUUUGCUAUCUUUUUACUUAAUUAGCUUAAUUUUGUAACUCUUUAUUUUUAUAUUUUUUAAAAUAUCAGUAUCUAUGAUAGUAGCAUAAAUCUUGAGAAAAAAUUUUUUAAUUUAAUAGCUCAAUUUUUUAUUCCGAAUUUUUAAUUGGUGAACGUAUAAUAUCCGUAUAAAUUACGUAUCCGAAUAAUUACCGAAUCCGUUUUUUAGCUGUAUUUUUCAACGAAUUUAAAAAUUAGAAGACGAAUUUUAUCCGAAUUAUAUCCGUACCGAAUUUUUGCCGUAUCGGAAUUAACUAACUAUCGUUUUAACUUUCUCAGUGAUUUAACAAAAAAAUUAAUAGAGAACAUAACGGGAAGAAAAACAAAUAAAAUUAUAGAAUACUAAAGUGAUAAAAUUUAGUCUAUAGAGUAUUAAAGUGAAAAAGUAUUGAACUAAAGGAUUAGUAUUUGAAGUUAAAUCACUGAAAAAAAAAAAAAAAAAAAAAAAAAAAAAAAAAAAAAAAUCUAGUGCGUUGAGCCCCAUCUUUAACCCCACGGUGCUCUAAGCCCCAUUGCUUUACCCAAAGCUAAUUAUGGAUCAAAGCAUAUUAAUUAGUAGGACAAAGUCAUUAGUUAAAUAAUAAUAUAAAUAAAUAAACUAAUAUGUGGAGAGACAAAUGAAAACAGGUUCAGGGUACAGCACACCUGCAUCAAAAGACGGGAAAAAUAACGACCCCAAAAAAAAUAAAAAAGAAAAAGUUGGUCACGUGAUUGGCGGUGGGUAGGAAAAAAUUUUAGAAUGCAACGGAUAUGUUAGUGACGUAGCGUAACAAAUUAAUCAAAUUAAUCCUUUUAAAAAUAUAUGUUCCAUCAUGAUUAUAAAAAAAUAUUUUUAUUGUACUUUUGUUUGAAAAGAAUGAAUGUGAUUGACUUGUUAUUGAUGACGUGCUGCAAGUGUGACAGUAUAGAAUUCCUCGUGGAUAGGAGUGUUUACGUACGCGCAUUUCAAACAAGUACAAAAAAAAAAAACCACAAAUUUUAAAAUGCGCCCCUUAUAGUACCAAUGUGGCUUCUCUAACUAAUAAAAUUAUUUUUAUUAAAUUCAUCGGUUAUAUUAUUCUUAAUAAAAAUAUUUUUUUAUUAUAAUUUUUAAAAAAUUAUAAUUAAUUUAUUAUUGAUGAUGUGUUGGAAAUGUAAUACUGUAACACCAUCACACUUGCACCACGUCAUUAAUAACAAGCUAAUUAUAUUUCUUCUUUUCAAACAAAAGUAUAAUAAUAAAUAUUUUUUUUAUAAUCACGAUAAAACAUAUAUUUUUAAAAUGAAAUAUUUAAUUAAUUUGUUAUGCCAAUCACUAAUAUUUCCAUUGCAUUCUAAAAUUUUUCGUCCGGGAGAGGCGCGCUCUGAGCGGCGCGCCUCACGGCGCUGAACGGGGGCUCAGAUGGAUGGAUCUCGUGCAUGUGAGCGUUGGGAAUGGUAAUACUAGUCUACUUUUGGAAUUUGACUAAUUACGAGGUGGGUGCGUUCAUGCAUGGGAGAGGACAAAAAAAUUAAUAGAAAAAAUUUUGAAUAUCAUAUCUGUAAUUUUGUGUUUUCUUAUUUUAACAUCUUGUAUUUUAAAAUAUAUUAUUUUAAUGUUUAGUAGUUUUAUUUUUUCUUUUCCUCAGUACCUCCUUUACCUCUUCGCUAAAUCAUACUGAAAAAAAAAAAAACUUCAAAUACUAUCUAAAUUUAUCGAAUAUUCGCUUUACUGAAAGCAACCUUCUUUACCGAAUUUUUUACUUUACUAUUUUAUUUUUUAACUUGUUCAUUGGUUUAACGGAAAAAUACACGGAGGGGAUAAUGAAAUGAAAAAAAACAAAAUAAUAGAGUACUAAAAUAAUGCAUUUUAAAAUACAUGCUAUUUCAUGGUACUAAAGUAAAAAAGCGUGAAAUUAUAAAAAAAAUAUUUAAUGUUUUUUCAAAACUAUAUGGACAUAGCCUCCAAAUUACAUAGUUUGGGAACGAUACGGAUAUAUAAGCGCCCUUUGGCGAAGCGGCGCCCAUCGAUCCACCUAGUAACAUGCUGGACUAAAAUGAUGGAGAGGUCCCUCAACCAUAGUUAGUUAAUUCGGAUUCGGCAAAAAUUCGGUACGGAUAUAAUUCGGAUAAAAUUCGUUUUUAAAUUUUUAAAUUCGUUGAAAAAUACGGCUAAAAAACGGGUUCGGUAAUUAUUCGGAUAUGUAAUUUAUACGGAUAUAAUACGUUCACCAAUUAAAAAUUCGGGAUCAAAAAUUCGGCUAUAUAAUAAGUAUAUAAAUAUUAAUUUACUAUAUAUAUUAUUAUUAUAAUUUUUAUAUAUAGAUUAAAUAUAUUCCUAUAUUAAUAAUAAACAUAUAUUAAUAAUACAUAAAAUUUAUAUAUUUAAAAAUAGUAAUAAAUAAUUAUAAAUUUAUAAAUAAAAUAUUAUAUAAAUAUUUAUAUAUAAAAAUAAAAUAAUAUAUAUAAUAAAUGAAUANGUAUAUAUAUAUAUAUAUAUGAGAGGGAGGUCCACUGUGGACCUCCCCCUCAUGCGGUCCACGAGGCUGAAAUAGCCUCGUGGACCGCGCAUCUCCAUGCUCCCAAAAAGCCCCGUAAAAAUUACUGUUCAACUUCAACUUUCCCAAAACGGCAUCCGGCGAGGAGAUGGGAUCCGCUGCCGCGGCCUUGCUCCCGGCGCCGGCGAGACCGGCGGAGGACGACGACGAUGCGAGCGGCGACAACGCGAGCGGCCACGAGAGCAGCGACGACACGAGCGGAGAGCCGGCGACGACGCGACCCUCGGCCGCGAGUCCGCGACCGCGAUCGCCGAUUUUUUGGGCGAAUUAUUCGCGAAUCGCGAAUAAUUCGCGAAUAAUGAUUUUUGAGGAAGAAAUCGCGUUUUUUUCCGAUUUUUUGGGAAAAAUACGGAAAUCUCCGUUUAAUUCGUAUGUAAAAAAAUCGCCGUUUAAUUCGCGUAUUAAACGCGAAUUAACUAACUAUGCCCUCAACUAUAAUAUAGCACUCUUUCUGAAAUGUACUUUUUAGUGUUUUUAAUUUCUUUAGUUUUUAUUUUUUACUUUAAUUUUUUUUUAAAUCCAAAAUAAUUGAUACAGUUCUUUUGGAUUUAUAGUAUUAAAUAAAUUUAAUACGAAAUUUGAUUAUAUUUUAUUAUUAAAUUGGAUAAAAAUGAUAUAAUAGUUAAUUUUUAAAAAAAAAUUAACUAAACUAAAGAUAGAACUCAACUAAAAAAUUUAAAAAUUAAGAAAUCAAAAAUAUUAAAGGGCAUAUUUCAAAAUAACCAAUAGUUAAGGGAUCAGGUCACUCACCAUAUAUUUUCACCUAGCAUUUUGCUGGGCGGUUCGCCAUGCGGCAUCUAUUCGCAUCGUUCCCAAACUAUUUAGUUUGAAGACAAUGCUCAUAUACUUUUUGUCCCAUGAGAGACAAAGGACGAGACAAAUAAUGCGAGAAAAGUGGCGGUCGCACAUGUUAUCUCAAUACUAAGGGAUUCUGAUUAGGAUUUGCAGGAGACUAAUGUCUCAUUUAGUACCAUUAUUUUUCUUUUUUAUAGUUAAUUUUAUAAACUUUAAUGUGUUGGAGAAAAGAUUUUUCAUUUGUUGUUGUUGAUUAUAUAUAGUUCAUUUAAUGCAUCAGGCUAAAUAAUAAAUGACAAUUUAUUUAAAAAAAUAUUGAAAGUGAAAAAAUUAUUUGUAAAUUUUUAUUUUUUUGUUGUCAAAUAAAUACUUUGAAUGAAAAAGCUGUUUGCAAUUCGAUGUCCAGUUCCACACUUUUGAUACACAAAAAAUUAUUCGAAAAUAUAAAAAGUAAACGCACGCAAUUCAGACACACGAGGCCUGAGCUCUCGUACGUCCUUUAAAAUAAACUGAUUUAUCUUAACAUAACUGUGGAUCUGGAUCUAACGAUCGAUCAGAUUACGUUUUAUAAGAUAUAUAUAUAUAUAUAUAUAUAUAUAUAUAUAUAAAAUUAGGCUGGAAUACUAUUAAUAGUAAAGCGCUCUUUUUGUUAUCAAAUUUUUAAUCCUUGGAUGAAAAAUUGUAGGGUCAGGAUGAUAUUAGUUAGUUGAGUGGUCCCCCUAGGGUUGAGUCGUCCCUAGUGGGUUAUAGUAUUUAAUCCAAUGGAUAGAAAUAAUGAAAAGAGUUGAUCCAAAGGCUAAAAAACUGGUAGCAACAAUAGGAUUUUGCUACUAAUAGUAGCCCAGUCCAACUCUAUAUAUAUAUAUAUAUAUAGAGAGAGAGAGAGAGAGAGAGAGAGAGAGAGAGAGAGAGAGUCCGGCUGGGGUACUAUCGAUAGCACCAAGAAUUUUGUACUAUCGAGUUUUCCACCAUUAGAUUUAAUCCUUUAAUUAUUUUUAUCCGUUAGAUUAUACUAUUCAACCAACCACUCACUCAACCCUAGGACCCACAUCAUCCUAACCACCCAUUUCUUAAUCCAAGGGCUAAAAAAUCAAUAAAUUAAUAGCACCAAUAGCUUGGUGUUAUUUUUUUGAGACAGAUAAAUAGCACGCUACUCGCUUCAUUUAUUUCAUUUAGAAAUAAACUUAACUGGAAAUGUGAAUCAACUAGGAUUCGAACUUGGAUCUCGGGUACCAACCACCAAGCCCUUUGCCACUAGCUUGGUGUUAUUGAUAGUAUUCCAGCCUAGUCUAUAUAUAUAUAUAGAGAGAGAGAGAGAGUCCGGCUAUUGUGCUUGUAAAAGCACCAAGUACUUGGUACUUGUAAAUUUUUUACCGUUAGAUCUACGCCUCGGAUCAUUUUCAUCCGUUAGAUUAUAUUAUUCAACCAACCACCCACUCAACCCUAAGGGGCCCACAUCAUCAUAACCGCACAUUCCUUAAUCCAAGGGCUAAAAACUUACAAGCACCAAUGAUUUGGUACUUUUAAAAGCAUAGGAGCUCCAUUAUAUAUAUAUAUAUAUAUAUAUAUAUAGUAUAUUAUAUAUAUGACGAGUGAGGCUACUAUGCUAUCGAAGCACGGAGUCUUCUCCGUGCUUCCAGCUCGUUUUCAAUAUGCGACUUUCAAUCGCGAUCAGCUCCGUUAAACUUGAUCUAGAGUAUUUAAGUACCUAGAAAUAAAUUUUAUGAUUUUGACGAUAUCAUUUGCCCAGUGAACAAAGGGGCUCAAAAUCAACGGCUGAAAAUAAAAAUCUAUAAAAUGUAAUAAUAUGACAUUAAAAUUUGAAAUCAAAGAUAUUGAUCUUUUUUAUAUAUUAUAAAAAAUUUUCUAAUCAAAAUUUCACGUGAUUUGAUAUUUCUUAUAACGUUAAACUUGCAAACGGCUCACUACGGCCUUUGAAAUUUGUUGAUUUUGAGCCCAUUCGAUCACUAGGCAAAUAUAUCGAAAAAUAAUAAAAUUUUUUCCAGUACUCAAUACUCUAGAUCAAGUUUAACAGAGCCGAUCGACGAUUCGAAAGUCGCAACAUCAAAACGAGCUGGAAGCACGGAAGGCUCCGUGCUUCGAUAGCAUAGUAGCCUCACUCUAUAUAUUAUAUUAUAUAUAUUAUAUAUUAAUAUAUAUAUAUAUAUAUUAAAGCUGCGGCUAAAUCUUAUGGAAGCACGGAGGGCUCCGUGCUUCCACUUUGUUUUCGAUGUUCGGACUUUCGAAUCGACGAUCGGCUCUGUUAGACUUGAUUUAGAGUAUUUGAAGUAUCUAGAAAAUAAAUUUAGCGAUUUUUCGAUAUCAUUUGCCGAGUGAUCGAAGUGGCUCAAAAUCAACGGUUGAAAAUGAAAAUCUUACAAAAUAUGAUGAUAUAACAAUAAAAUUUUAGAUCAAAGUUAUUGAUAUUGUUUUAUAUGGUAUAAAGAAUUUCCUAUCAAAAUUUCAUGUGAUUUGGAUAUUUCUACACCUAAACUUGCAACCAGCUCACUACGGCCAUUAAAAUUAUUGAUUUUGAGGCCCUUCGAUCACUAGGCAAAUGAUAUCGAAAAAUCACAAAAUUUAUUUUCUAGGUACUUCAAAUACUCUAGAUCAACUCUAACAGAGCAGAUCGUCGAUUCGAAAGUCUGAACAUCGAUAUUAACUUCGAAGUACGGAGGGCUCCGUGCUUCCAUAAGCAUAUCAGCCCACUCAUAUAUAUAUAUAUAUAUAGAGUUGAGCUGGAAUGCUGUUGGUAGCAAACCGGCUCCGUUGCCACCCAUUUGUUUUCAAUGAUGGGGCCUUUAAAUUGACGAUCGGCACAAUUGAACAUGAUCUAUACCACUUGAAGUAUCUAGAAACCAAAUUUUAAAUCAUUUCGACAUCAUUGACCUAAUGAUCAAAGGGUUUCAAAGUUUAUAAUUUUAAUGGUAGAUACCAGGCGUUUUCUCGUUUAACGGUGUAAAGCUAUUCAAAUCAAUUGAAUUUUGGUUAGAAAAUUCUUUAAACUAUUUAGAAUAAGAUCUAUACUCUCGAUCUUGAUUACAAAAUUCCUAUCAUUACUUUUUGGAGGAUAUUCAUUUUCAGCCGUUCAUUUUUACGCCUAUUUGAUGGACAAGAGAAUAAUAUCGAAAAAGCAUAAAAUUUGAUUUCUAGAUACUUCAAGUGGUAUAGAUCAUGUUUAACGGUGCCGAUCGUCAAUUUAAAGGCUCCAUCAUCGAAAACAAAUGGGUGGCAACGGAGCUGGUUUGCUACCGAUAGCAUUUCAGCUCAACUCUAUAUAUAUACAUAUAUAUAUAUAUUAACAUAUAUAUAUAUAUAUACAUAUAUAUAUAUAUAUAUACAUAUAUAUAUAUAUAUAUUACAGAUCUAAUUAAUUAAGAGCAAUAAGAUAAUUUAGUUGAGUCAUGAUGUUACAGAAAAUUUUCAUUCUUAUAUAGAUCUAUUAAGAAGAAAAUAUUGUAGCACAAUGAAGAAUCCGACAACUACAGGAUGUCAGUGGAUAUUGAUGUCUGAAAUUUUAUGCAACUCGAAUCCGAAUGAAACAAAUUUAUUCGAUACUAAAAUAAAAAACGAAAACCAGACGGAUUUGGCUUCAAGUAUGAAUUUUGACUGUGCCUGAAACCGAACCUGACCCAAACCCAAAUUGAGUUUAUGUUGUUAAUAUAUAUAUAAAGAAAGUAGGACUUGUGUGCUAUUAAAAGUAUGGAAGCUUCGGUACUCCUAACCUAUUUUCGAUAAUUGAAGUUUUGAAUUGAUGAUUGGCUCUGUUAGACUUGAUUUAGUGUAUUUAAAAUAUUUAGAAUUUUAUGAUUUUUUUAUAUGUUUUACCUAUUGAUCGAAAUGGUUCAAAAAUCAACAAUUUUUAAUAGUUGAUGUGUGCCGUUUAUAUAUAUGUUUAACGGUAUAAAAGUAUUAAAAUCAGAUGAAAUUUUGAUGAAAAAAUUUUUAUACUAUUUAUAAUAAAAUUAAUAUUUCUGAUAAAAAAAUUUUAGUGCUACAUCAUGAAUUUUUAUAGGAUUUUUAUUUUUAGCCGUCAAUUCUUAGUCCUUCUGGUCACUAGGUAAAUAAUAUUAAAAAAUUAGAAAAUUUAUUUUUUAAAUAUUUUAAAUACACUAAAUCAAGUCUAAUAGAGCCGAUCAUCGAUUUGAAAGUGACAUCAUUAAAAAUGGCUUAGAAGCACAAAGGCUUCCUUGCUCCUAAUAGCACACAAGGGCUAUAUAUAUAUAGUGAUCUGGCUACUAUCUUCUUAAGAGGAUAGAAGUCUUUGUCUUAUCAAGUCAUUUUGGAUGAUCGGGACUUCAAAUUGAUAAUCGGCAUCGUUGAAAUGGAUCUACACUAUUAAAAAUAUUUAAAAACCGAAUUUUGUAAUUUUUAAAAAUCAUUAUCAAGUCCAUCAAAGAGUCAAAAAAUAAAUGUUCAAAAACAAAUGACCUUCUAAAAACAAAGGUUAGACUUUAUCAAUUUACGAUCGGAGUUAUUAAACAUUAUCUAAAAUAUAGUAUAAAAAAUUUUCUAUCAAAUAUUCAACCAGUUUGGAUUACUCUAUACCAUUAAACAAGUAAACCGGUUUGGAUUACUCUACAAUGUUAAAUAAGUAAACAGCUCAUAUAAGCCGUCAAAAACUGUCAAUUUUGCAAUCCUUUGAUCACUAUGUAAAUAAAUUUUAAAAUUUAGUUCAUAAAUAAUUCAAAUACUCUAUGUCAACUUCAAUGAUUCCGAUUAUUGAUUUGAGAUCUCUAUUAUCAAAAACGAUUUGAAAGGAUGAAGGUCCCUAUCCUCCUAAAAGGAUAACAGCUGGAUUCUUUCUCUCUCUCUCUCUCUCUCUCUCUCUCUCUCUCUAUAUAUAUAUAUAUAUAUAUAUAUAUAUAUAUAUAUAUAUAUAUAUAUAUAUAUAUAUAUAUAUAUUUGAUGUUAUAUUUGGUUUUGUAUUUUAAAAAAUUUAGAUUUUAUGUAAUAUAUUUUGAAAUAUUAUAAAGAAAAAUAAUUAUUUCCGGUUUGGAUUUUGGGUGUUCGGGUCUGAGAUUUUUAGUCGGGUUUGGAUUUGGAUAUGAAUUUUUUAAUCUGUCAUAUUCAGGUUCGAGUUCGGGUUUCGGGAUUGAUAGUCGAGUUCGGAUUCGGGUUUUUAAAAAUCCCCCACGAAUCUGACCCGUUGAUAUCCCUACACAAGUACUCUCGUUUCCACCUGUCACGGCCUUAGCAUUUUUGUUCGCAAAGCCCGUGCGGCGACCGCCUUCCUGCUCGAAGAUGGGCAAGCCUUCGUCCCUGCUACUAGCCCGGACCUUCGCGUCCUACGACUAAGUAUGCAAAGGGAAUGACAGAGAGAGAGAGGCAGAGGUUCACUCAAAAAAACUAAAUACUCCACUACUUAGAAAAAGAGAUUAGAAUACACAAACACACUCCCUCUUGUGUCCUUUGGCCUUAGCCAAACUCUACUAUUUAUAGACUCCUAGAUACAUUGAAUCUAGCCUACACUAACUCUCUCAUUAAGACACAUUAACUCACCCUCAUAAUGAGCCAUAAGCCCAAGAGUCAUCCUAUUAACUCUUGGUAGUUUUGCAACCUUUGAGCUUCCAUCAUUGAUGGAAGAAUUUACAAAACCCUUCAUCUCCCAACAGCAGGUUGCGUUUGGGUAUCCUUGACAACCCGAUUCAACCCGUUUUCGCUAUUGAAGUUAGGCCAAGGACUUAGAUUGCAUAGCAAUUUCGUUAAGUCCUGACAUUCUCCCCCAUCUACCGGGCAGACGCCCUCGUCGCGCACCAAGCUGCUCCAAUCCGCGUAGCUUUUCGUUCAGUCCGCCGUGCCUCCGCGCCCGAACGGCCCUGAGCCUUACUACUGCAGUCCGCCUUUGCUUCUGCACCAGCUCCCAAUGCCUCGCCCCUCUGAGCGUGAACACUAGCUAGCUCGCUGUGCGAAAAAUCCAUCGAGUGUGCAUGUCCUCCGCGACACAGACGCGCACUCCGCCAAGCUGCAGAACUCACCUUGGUCCCUACAUGCUCCUUGAUAGAAUGGCUUGCUCUUUGCUUGGGCGCUGGCUGCUUCAGCGCCGCAUGAGACUUGACAGUCUCACCGCUGCUCAGGCCCUCCUCCUCGAGGCUCUCAGCCUUCCUGCGCUUCACCUGGUCGUAAAGCUGUAGAGCUGUCAGAGUUGGAUCCUUCGUUGGCGCCGAUACAUCAGAACCAUGCAAGGCACUGACUCGUCCAGGAAGCUCAGCACCCACAAAUGUGGCAUGGGCACCGCCUUCGACGAAACAAGGAAGUCCAUCCCAAGGAUCACCCCGAAAUCGUCGAGUGGCCCAGCUGUAAGAUUAGCCUUGCCCCUCCACGGGCCGAUGGCUAUCUCCACCUCCUUUGCAACUCCUGCGAUUGGUCGUGCUUCAGAGUUGACAGCCUUGAUGCAACUCACAUCCUUCUCGAGCUUGAGGCCUAAUCGCUUGGCCUCCGCCUCUGCAACAAAGUUGUGGGUUGCGCCAGUGUCGACCAGCGCUCGCGUGGCCCUCCCGUUGAGGGUCAUAUCGAUGAACAUAAGCUCCCUCCAGCAGAGCUUCUCAUCGCUUAGCUGUCUACGAACUGCGUUGACGAGCCUUAGCGUGCCCAUCCUUGGCAGCUCGAGCACGUCCUCGCUCUUCUCGGCUUGGACCGCAGCAACCUACUUACCUUUGUGGUUGCCCCUGUUUGGGCAGUCCCGUGCCUAAUGAUUCUCGCUGCAAACAUAGCACGAGAUCAUUGCAGGUGGCGGGGUGGGAUUCUGUCGUUGCCUCCUCGUAUCACAAUUUGGCUUGUGCCCCUUCUCGCCCCCUGGAUCGCGGUGCUCUCCCCCACCUUUGGCCUCGGUCGCCUUUGAUGGUUCACCUCGAUCGCCUUCAAUUCGCUCCCGCUCGGGCAACUUCUCCGCCAAAGCGAUCACGGAGUUUAAGUCCUUCACGUCUCGCGCCACGAGCUCCUUGUUCACCCAUACAUGGCUAAAGGCCAUCUAGAAAGAAGAAUAACUGAUCCUCAUCAGCCAUGUUGGUGAUCGCCAACAUCAGCUUGGAGUAUUCUUGGACAUACUCCUUCAAAGUUCUCGAAUGUUUGAGCCGUCGAAGUUGCCUCCUCGCAAGAUAUUCAACGUGCUCGGGGUAGAACUGCGCCUUGAGCUCGCGCACAGAGUCCUCCCAUGUUUUCAGUUGGCAUUGGCCCUUCUCGACCUCUGCAAAACGUCGACGCCACCACAGUAUCGCGUCGUCAGUGAGGUACAUGGACGCGACCUGAAUUUUUUCCUCCUCGUCGUCCAGCCGCAACGCCUUGAUGUAGCGCUCCAUGUGCCACAGAAAAUUGUCGAUCUCCUUCUCAUCGCGGGUACCCCUGAAAUUUUGAAGCUCAUGAAUACGUACCUUUGAAGCGGACUCUCUUUGGGGUUCAUGUCCACGCGCCACCGUUUUUUCAAGGAUCGCCACUCUCGUCUUGAGGUCCUCGAUCUCGUCGACUCGAGCAACGAGCUCCUCGAUCAGGUUCUUUCGCUCCUCAUCACGAUGAGUCAUGUUGCCCUGAAUCUUCUCGAGUUCGCUUCGAAAGGUCGUCAUGUUAGUAGCAACGCUUUCCUCAAUGCUGCGGACCUCAUCGUUAAAAGAGUUAAAGGAAUCAGCCAUUUCGGUGUACCUAUCACCCAUUUUCGAUAUUAUAUCCUCCAACAGCACCAGGCGGUCCUCCAACAACGCAGAAUCCCUCGUGACUGGCCGAGGGUCUUUGCUCUUGCUCCGCUUGGAGGGCUGCUUUGGAGGGUCACCCCCAACGUCAACAACUCCCGCAUCGGAUGACGACAUGGUUCCUUCUCGAACCGGCUCUGAUACCAACUGUCACGGCCUUAGCGUUUUUGUUCGCAAAGCCUGUGCAGUGCUCACCUUCCUGCUCGAAGAUGGGUAAGCCUUCGUCCCUGUUACUUGCCCUGACCUUCGCGUCCUAUGACUAAGUAUGUAAAGAAAAUGACAAAGAGAGAGAGGCAGAGUGUCACGCCCUGGGACCGGCGGAGGCCCUCCCGGUAGCGUGCCCAGACCCGCCAUAUGUCUACACAUAUAAGGCGUCUACAAGAAAAGCGUAAGUAAAAGCAAGAGAUGGAACAAAUAAAAGAAGUGAAAUAACUAGCAACAAAUGAUAUCAGAGGGAGCAAAGUUCUAACAUCUACACCAAUAGUAGCAGAACGUAACUAAUAUAUAAAAGUAACACAAGCUAUACAGUAUCAGCCUCUAAUACAAAAAUGGUGGUCACUAGUACACUGGUAAAACUCUCAACCUCUCCAAAAUAAAAUACAACGAGAGGUAGACCACCUAGCCAAUCGUCUUCGAAGGAAGCUAGCUCGAAGCAUCUCCCUUCCCGCGGUCCCUGGCCUCACCCUGAGUGGAAGACUCUGAAAAACAUCGAGAAAAAGAGGGCGUGAGAACUAUAAUUUAUAGUUCCCAGUGGGCAAUUACUGACCUCAGCUCCUGCUCCACUAGGCCCCAAAAACAAGGGUAAGUAAUGCUAAAAGCAAUAAGCGAUAAAAAGGAGCAUGUAAAUAAACUGCUGAAAGAGAGAGCAUAAGUAAAAUGCUAUACUACAAUAUCUCACAUAAGCACGAUGUCAAAAUGUUGUACAUCUAUUCUAUCAUAAGGAAAAGUGACCAAUGGCAAUAGUUUACGGUUACCAACCUUUAUUCAUACAUGAUGUAUAAGCUCUAUCAUGGCGGCCAAGUAUACUAUGAUGAAAAAGGUAACUGUCAAGUAUACUACAUGUCUCAACCCUAUACUAUAUGCAUGUAAAUGUAAUCUAACUACUAAACCUAUCUAGUAGUGAUUGUCCAUUCUCAAACCGUGUCGAUUUCCAUUUCCAAUCAGGGACCUACCCAAGGUAGUCCAGCUUGUGGCACCUAAGUGCCUGUGGUAGCCCGACAUUCCUACUCAUGGAAUGUGUCUGUCCCACUCGACCCCGUAGACUUCUCGAUACCGCACGAGCGAACAAAAGUCGUGUAGGCUAACUCCGGAGUGCCGGCUUGUAGGGAGCGACCCUCACAAGCAUGUGCGAAUGAGCACAAAUGGCAAGCAAGCGUAGUCCAAGUCUCAAGUAUCCAAUCCUCAUGUCUCUAACAUGAUAUAGUCACUAGCAUCCCGAAGAUCUAGUUUAAGUCACAAUGUGAAGUUUCAAUAUUUACUACGCCUAGUGCCCCUUGAUGACACUUAGGCAAUUUGAUGUUCAACAUGGAUUCCAAAUCCCUCAAUGGCUCUAUCCGCUAGGUUCACACAUGUCCCGAGCUUAAUGCCGCUUGAUGACAUUAGCUCUUUAGUUCACAUACCUUCUAAAUGGCAAUCUUGUCAUCUUUCACGUCACACGUAAACUCAAGUUUAAAUGCAUGAAUCCGAACUCAUUUGUACUAUAGAAGCAUGAAACCAAAUCUCAUAAAGAAUGCCAAAUGCAACCAAGGAUCUCCCAAGCGACUCUCUACUACAUAGAGGUCCAAAAUUUCACUAUAUAUAACAUAUGCAUUUUAAGCAUUCUAAAAAUCAUAAUAAAUAUAUUUAGUAUGAAGAUACAUGCUUUUUCAAUUUACGGAACAUAUAUAACCAUAUAUGAGAAUUUCUCAUAUGCAGGCUAGGUCGAACCCACCGAACCGUCGCGUAGGGUCUCGAUUCGCCGAACAAAGUUGUCCCCGAGUCUCAAAAUACCCUAAAAGUGAUCAGCAAAGAGAUACGAGGGCAUUACGACCAUCUUAUAAAAUCAAACAUUAACCUAGAAGCAAAAAGGGCCAAAACUAACCUCAAGAGUAGAAAUCCCUUCCAAAGCUCCGAAAAAGAGCUAGAACCCUUCCAAACCAAACCCUAGGAAGGUUCUAAACCAAUCAAUUUAGCCUCAAAAGCCCUAGAUCAAAAAGCCCCAAAAAUCAACCCUAAUACCCAUUCUAGGGUUCCAAAUGGUAAAACCUACCAAAUCAAGGGUUCAAGGGUAGAAUCCAAGUACUAACCUCCCAAGGUGCCUCCAAACAAGCUCCAAAUCUUCUAGGGUUGAAGAUUGGUCCACCACCAAGCUCUACAAGCAAGCUCCAAGCCUUGCAAAGGUGGAAAAGAGAGAAAGGGGUUGAGCUCCAAGCUCCCUCAAGCUAGCUCCUCUUCUUCUUCUUCUCCUCCUUCUUCUUCUUCUCUCUCUAGAAAGUGUAGGGAGAGGGUGAGAAUGAGAGAAAUGGGAGAGGGAAGAGGAGGAAAUGGCUAAUAAGCCCAUCUAGUGUAACAAAAUUCAGAGAAGCCCCUCAAAAAUUCAAUAUUGCAUCAGCCCGGUCUGGGCAGUUUUCGCCCAGAGGGACCGGUCUCUCCCCAGCAGGGACCGGUCUCUCGCUGCGAACCCGAAAAACCAGCGUUCGGGAACCGGUCUCUCCCUGCGCGGGACCGGUCUCUCACUGCGAAGACGCGCUCGGGGACCGGUCUCGCCUGGCAGGGACCGGUUGCCUCAGGCUGCCUCGACACUGCUCACUGGGGGACCGGUCUCUCCUUUUAGGGACCGGUCCCCGAGAGUAAAACUCUCAGGACUUGUCCAGAAUUCCGAUUUUCGAACUUUUUAGGUCGGAAAAUAUUUUACAACCCUCCACCAAGUGUGGAAAAGCUCAAAAUACAUCCAAACACUCGAACCUCGCAAUUUGCAAAGGUCCAGUGUGUUACACAGAGGUUCACUCAAAAAAACUAUGUACUCUACUACUUAGAAAAAGAGAUUACAAUACACAAACACACUCCCUCUUGUGUCCUUUGGCCUUAGCCAAACUCUACAUUUAUAGGCUCAUAGAUACAUUGAAUCUAGCCUACACUAACUCUCUCAUUAAGACACACAUUAACUCACACUCAUAAUGAGCCAUCAGCCCAAGAGUCACCCUAUUAACUCUUGGUACUUUUGUAACCUUUAAGCUUCCAUCAUUGAUGGGAGAAGUUACAAAACCCUUAAUCUCCCCACAGCGGGUUGUGUUUGGGUUUCCUUGACAACCCGAUUCAACCCAUUUUCGCUAUCGAAGUUGGGCCAAGGACUUAGAUUGCAUAGUAAUUUCGUUAAGUCCCUGACACACCGCUCUAAUCUAUGCGUUACUUUGCCACCCUAUUGCUCAAAAAAUUAUAUUUAAUUAUUCUAUAGUUUUAUCUGUAUUUUUAUCUAAAAAAUUUAAUAUCAAAUAGUUUCGCAAAAUGAAAUAUUUUGAUAGCUACAGAAUAGCUAAAUGUAAUUUUUUCAAUUACAAAAUGACAAAACAAAACUGAGCUAAACUACAAGAUAGUUCAAUACAACUUUUUGAACUCCAAGGUGGUGAAGUUAAAAAUGAACUAAUUAAACUACAGGAGAUAAGAUCAAAGUUUACCCAAAGGAAAAAAAUCCAAUAUAUGUUCUGCGUGUCUUAAUUAUUUUGUUGCUCUAUAAGAAAGAUUAGCAAAUGGAGGCCGAGUUUUGAAUUUCUUUUCUUUUUAUAAUAAGUUAAUUAAUUGGGUAAGUAAGCUCUCCCCAUUGGUGCCAAGGCCUAAUAGUAGUGUGCGAGGCCUAAUAGUAGUGGUUGGAUUUUUUUUUUGUUUUUUGAGAAAUAGGUAGCACGCUACCCGCUUCAUUUAUUGAAAAGAUGAACUAAACUACAGGGGUGAGGCAACAUAGGCCUCGGAAGGGUCGGAAAAAAAAAAAAAAAAACACACACACACACACACACACACACACACACACACACACACACACACACACACACACACACAAAGUAUUCGUAGUGGUUGGAAUUUUGGUUUCGAUUGGGCAUCAAAAUAAGUUAUCUAACAAUAACUUAUUCAAAAUGAAAUUUUUUUAUAUAAUUUAAAUAAUAAGUUUAAUUUUUUUAUCUUCUAAAGUCUUAGCAUUCAUGAUUUAAGUAGAGCAAAUAUAGUUAGUGGUAUCUAUCCAUCACAAUCAAUUCUUAUUAUCCAACGACAGAUUCUUUCAAAAACUAUCCUUUAAUUGUAUGUUAUCUCCAAGUGUAUAGAGUCAAUAUGAAGCACCCUAAAUCACAUGAAUUUUUAAUUUAUAGAUUAAUCAAUCAAACCCACUAGCCCCAUUAAUCUUUGAAACUCUAAAGGUUACUAAGUUGAUCUUUCCCCCGACCAACAAAAACUUACUCUAAUAAAAAAGGUGUCAUUGUUUGGUAACUUAACAUAGCUUUUUGAGUAAUUGUUUGUUUCACUUAUUUUCAAACCAGAAUGUCAUAGACUUCGAAUUUCUUGCCCACCAGCCCCUAUUUUGCUAUCACCGAAACUCCAAAGGGGCAAAGUUUUGAAGAUUUAGUCGAACCCUUCUAAAAGCUACUGUGGAAACUCAAGACUACGGAUGUGGAAGCCAAAAAAUCAUAGACUACCUUCAUAUUUCUAUAAGCAAUAAUAAAUGUAGUAGGGAUUUGCAGCUUUCCCUUUUUGCUUGUCGUCGCGCCACCUAGAGCCUUUCUAUUUAUAUCCCCGAGUGGCGAGAGGCUUAUAAAUGGCAGAGAGCCUCGAGCCAACCUUAGCCAAGAACAUUGUUCUCCUAUUUAGAUCCUCAAGUAAUACAACUUCAAUUCCCUCUAGAAUCUUCUCUCUCUCUCUCUCUCUCUCUCUCUUGCAACUUAACUUUAGGGAAAAUAGGUCUACGCUUGCAAGUAGAGGUAGGCUUGCUCAUUCCAUAAAGAAAGCGAGUGCUGCUUCGACCUUUUGCUAGAAAAAAACACAAGUCCUUAAAAGUUUGUAUCAGAACGGGUUUGAGAGGGGAAUCAUGUCAUCAUCCAAAGCCAUUAUCAUCAACUAUGUGCCCGAACCGAAGUAAGCCUAAGCGUAGGAAAAGCUAAGGAGUCGCGGGCACUCGCGAAGGAGACUAUAUCCUUGGAGGACAGUGUGGGACUGUUGGACAAUACUGUGAUGAGAGUAGAGGAGUGGUGUUUUGUUCUAACACAAACCAUAGGGCUGAUGGAUGAUGAGCUUCAUGCAAUAGAGGACAGUGAUGCUGUUGCCUAGGCAAGCUUUCUCCCCUAUCUUGAGUAAUUUCGGAGGAGAUUACACGUCACGACGAUAAAUAUGGGGUGUUGGUUCAAAACCAUACCAACAAGCUCGAAAAAGGUCUAGAAUCUCAAAAAGUGAGUGGCGAUCCUCGAGCGGGUGGUUGCCCGUGGUGAGGAUGCAUAAAAAGUGUACAUCCCAUGAGUCCAUGUCCCCCGAGCCAAGUGCUUCAAGGGUGUGCGAGAUGAAACGGAGAUAGACAACUUUCUAUGGCACAUAUAGUGCUAUUUCAAUGUACUAUUGUUGGACGACGAGGAGAAAGUCCAGACCAUAUCCAUGUACCUUGCAGACGAUGCUUUGUUGUGGUGGUAUCAACGGUCAGCGGAGGCUUAGCAGGGUCGCUACCAACUUUGACACAUGGGAGGACUUCGUGUGCUAGCUUAAUGUGCAGUUCUACUCGAAGUAUGUCGAGUGUAUUGUAUGGAGGCAACUUCGGAGGCUCAAGCACACUACAACAUUGAAAAAGUAUGUAAAGAAGUACGCCAAGAUGAUGUUGGCCAUUACUAGCAUAGAUAACGAGGAUUGAUUAUUUUUCUUCCUUCAUGGGCUCCAACGAUGGGUGAAUAAGGAGCUCAUGGGGUGCAACAUGAAGGACUAGAGCUUCUCUAUAGCCUCGAUGGAGAAGUUAUUCGAGUACAAGAAAGCUAACCACAAUCGUGGCAAGCCUUCCAAAAUAAGUAAAGCCAAAGGUAGAGGAAACCAUUACGACCCAAAAAAAAAAAAUUAAAGGCCAAGAAAAAAGGCUUGUGCCAUACGGAAGAAAGUAUUGAUGUGCUAUGUACGCCCAGAUGAAUAUUAGGCGAGGGAUUGCCCGAAAAGGAAGAAGCUAAAUGUCAUCCAAAUAGAAAAGGGGGAGGAUGUGUUCAAGCUUGUCAACAUAUCCAAGGCUAGCAAAUAAUAGUAAGCCCCUAAAGAAGUAGUUGUUGUACAGCAAUGUGACCCUCAAUAAAAAGGCCACGAGGAUGAUGAUCGACACCGGGGUAAGGCAAAGGUCAAGUGAUUAAGUCUCCAGCUGGAAAAAGACAUGAGUCAUAUAAAGGUUGUUAACUCUCAAUCACAGCCUAUCUCUAUGGUUGCCAAAGAAAGUUAGCAAUUAGUUGGACCGUGAAAGAGGAUAGUAAACUUCGAUGCUACUCCUAUCGAUGAUUUCAAGUUUAUCCUCAGCAUAAAGUUUCCAUCUUCAUCAAAAGUGGUCUUGACGUCGCACUUUGGGGCACUAAGCACAAUAGAGAAAGAAGCCCUAUGCAAAGUUUUGGCUAGCUAGGAUGAGACGGCGAUGAUCCAGGCCCUCUCUGAAUUAAAAGUUGAAAAAGAGUAAAAUAUAAGGAGAUCACCUACCUUAUGGUAAUUCGAGAAGUGGACAAGUAGGGCCUCUAGGAAGAAAGUCUUCCAAUGGAAUUUGAAAUACUACUAAAGGAGUUUUAAGAUGUCAUGCCCCAGGAGGUGCCUAAACAACUUUCACUUAGGUAGGAGGUCGAUCACUCCAUCAAGCUUAAGACAAGGACCAAGCCAAUAGUGAGGGCACCCUAUCGGAUGGCAUCACCAAGGAUCAAGAAGUAGAAGAAGAAAUUGAGGAGCUUCUUUAUAUAAGCUUCGAAUUCAUUCGACAGUCCAAGGUACCAUUCAGCGCAUUAAUGCUGUUUCAAAAGAAAAGUGAUGGAAGCCUGCAACUCUAUAUUGAUUAUAGAGCACUCAACAAGGUGAUUAUAAAGAAUUAGCAUCCUAUCCUACUAGUAGUAGACCUUUUCCACCAACUCGAGUGGAGCUAAGUACUUCAUCAAGCUCAAUCUCUGCUCGAAAUACUACCGAGUGCGAAUUGCCAAAGAUGAUGAGGAGAAGACCACGUGCGUGAUGAUGUACAGGUCCUAUGAAUUCCUCGUCAUGCCUUUUGGCUUAACGAAUACGCCAUCAAAUUUUGCACACUCAUAAACAAGUUGUUCCACCUCUAACUCGAUUCAAUUCAUAUUGAUAGACCAUGAUGGCAUUGUCAUGUACAACAACAUCCUGGAGGAACAUAUCGAACACCUACGAACCAUCUUUUAAGUGUUGCAAAAGAACCAACUAUUUGUUAAGAAAGAAAAGUAUAUAUUCACAAAGAAGAGAUGCACUUCCUUAGCCACUUGAUAGGCUAGGGCCAACUUUGUUGGUAGGUAGGUCAACAUCCUACCAACAUAGCGAAGGCUGAGUUGGGUCAAAUCACAAUCGAGAAGUCUAGGCACUAUGUAUGUAUGCUUUAAGUAAAUUAAUUGUCUCAUUUCUAAUAGCUUGAGUUUUUUAAAUAGAUGUUAAUGCCAAUGAAUCCACAAGUGGUAUCAGAGCAUAUCAAAAAAUCAAUUCCUGCAUAUGCAAUUUGUGUAGGUUCUUGUAGAGUAGAGGGAAGGAUUGUUCGUAGAUAGGCUAGUAUCCUACCAAUAUAGUGAAAGCUAGGGAGGAUUGUUGGUGGGUAGGCCAGUAUCCUACCUAUAUAGCAGAAGCUAGGUUGGAUCAAGUCAUAAUCGAGACUCAUGGGCAUUGAGUUUAUAUACUUUAAGCAAAUUGAUUACCUCUUUUUUUAACAACUCGAGCUUUCGGACUAAGCAAUUAGUGCAAGCAAUCCACAAACUUCGUAAGGAUCAUAAGAAGGUGCAAGUGAAUUGAGAUAGGAGAUGCCAAUGACGGUGACAGAGCUACGGUCCUUACUUGGACUCAUCGACUACCACUGUCAUUUCACUGUGGGCUACUUCACAAGGGUAACCCCGCUAAUGGACUUGCUAAAAAAGAACCAGCUCUAAGUAUGGUCCCCUCGACGCAAGGAGGCAUUGGAGGUGUAACACCCCCAAAUUUGACUAUAAAGGUUUUAAAACGUUUUAAAAUUUUAUUUUAGAGGGGUGAUGGCCAAUUUCAUAUGAUUUGAACUCAAAUUGAGUCAAAACGAAUUAUUUGAGGACGAAAAUGUCAAAACUGUUGACUCGAAUCUGCUAUUGCACAACUAGCCGCUUUGGGAAAGCUUUUGACUAAGUUAUCGAUAUCUGAUUAAGGCAAAAUUAUUUUAAGAUUUUUAUCUAUUUUGAAAGAGUUAUGGGCUCCAAAAAUUAAGACUUUUGUUUUAAUUCGAUAAUAGAGCAUAACAGUUGAAGUGAUGGACUUGAAUAAGCCUAAAUCAUUUAAGAUUAAAAUAAAAAUAAAAGAUUAAUGGAGAUACUCAUUAUCUAUAUGUUCGGUACUUCGGACAUGAUAAAAAUAAAAUAUUAAUGGAGAUACUCAUUAUUUGUAUGUUAGGUACUUCGGACACGCACGCCGGAACUCCUUCGGCCGAACCUUCCAUGUCUUAGAUCGGUCUUUUCUUAUUUUGAGGUGGAAUCCUUAUCUAAAGAUGAUGAACCUUAUUGGUCCUCUUAGUAUCAUAUAUAUAUAUAUAUAUGUAUACAUAUACAUGUAUAUGUAUACAUAUACAUGUAUAUGUAUAUAUAUAUACACAUGUGUAUAUAUAUAUAUANUUACAUUUUGGAAUCAACAAAUAACUAAGAUUAUACUAUCUUCCAAUACAAAUGCAUACCCUCUACUAGUACAAUGUGAUAAUAAGAGACAUGUUAGAGUAUAAGAUCAAAUUCCAUUGCAUCGUAAACUAAAGAAUAAACAACGAGUGCACAAGUUCUUAGAAUAAUAAUUAAGCAUGCAAUAAGAAUUAUAAACAUUCGGUUGCAAUAUAUAUAUAUGUAUAUAUAUAUAUAUACAUGUGUAUAUAUAUAUAUAUAUAUAUAUAUAUAUAUAUACACAUGUAUAUAUAUAUAUAUACAUAUAUAUAUAUUGCAACCGAAUGUUUAUAAUUCUUAUUGCAUGCUUAAUUAUUAUUCUAAGAACUUGUGCACUCGUUGUUUAUUCUUUAGUUUACGAUGCAAUGGAAUUUGAUCUUAUACUCUAACAUGUCUCUUAUUAUCACAUUGUACUAGUAGAGGGUAUGCAUUUGUAUUGGAAGAUAGUAUAAUCUUAGUUAUUUGUUGAUUCCAAAAUGUAACAGUAUUAUUGACACAUUGGCCCUAUUUGGAUUCGCUGCUAUGCUUAUGGCGUUCCCCGGGCCAUCUUGGAUGGCUCUUUGUGAUGUGGGAGUUUGAGUGUGAGAAGGCGCGAGUGGGUUACCGGUGGUGGUCGCUCCCCACUCGGUAAGCCUUUGCUCUCUGGGUUGAAAUUUGCUUUAUAUCCAAAACCAGGGUAUCGCUCUUACGCAUUUACUCGAUUAUAGGUCGAGUUGGAUUUUUGUUGGACCUUUCUAGUUGAUUAUGCUUAUCCUAUGAUACCACCAUUUACUUGUUGAGUAUAGAUGCAAUUGUUGAUCAUACUGGUAGAUUCAUAUGUAUGUCUAAUAACUAUUCAUAUUACAUUGCUUAUCUUUCCAUUGAUACAUACUAUUAGAUCCAAUGGGUUUUGUUGUCUCUUGACGAGCUUCCACUGGGAACUAUUGUUAAUAGGUCUCAUUAUGUGGAUAUUACUAAUUUUUCAGGUAUGGCCUUUGAGAUGAGAUCGGGCGAGGCGACGACUAUAGUUAGAUAGUAGCAUGCUAGAUCAUUUCUAUUUUUGUAUUAUAUGCAUCUUAUCUUUUAUUUUGGACUAUCCUUUUGGAUAUGUCUUAGGCCAUACUGGAAUUAUGAAUUGUACAAACUUGCUACUUGUUAACUUGAGGGCAUAACCUAUUUGGAAGUUUUAUUUGUGUUUAAUAUAGAAUGGUAUUAUGGUAACCAAUUUAUAUUAGUAAAUUUGGAAUGUUUGAAAUUGUGAAUUAUUUGUAAAAAUUUAUAAUGUUAUAAGGAUGUUGAUAUUAACACCGGACAUACUUAAGCUUUCAAUCUUAAGUUAUGUGGCGGGUCUGCAGCUGUUACACCUCCGUGGUAGCUCCACUAUCGGGCGCUACACGAGGACCUCAAGCAUGUAGUGACAGAUGUCUAGUUUUGCAAUUGCCAGAUUGCGAUCGGUCGUUCGAGACACAUAUCAAUGCCUCAAACUUUUCCAUUGGUACUGUCUUUUUGUAGAAUGGGCACCACAUGACCUACAAGAGUCGCAAACUUAAUGAAAUUGAAUGAUAGGACACAGUUCAAGAGAAAGCGAUGAAUCUUGUGGUGCAUUGCCUAAGAACAUAGCAGCACUAGCUCCUUACGGCCAACUUCAUGGUGAAAAUGAUCAAUGUUGCUAUGAGAUAUUUCUAAACAUAAAAGGAGUUGUCAUUUAAGCAGGCGAGAUGGCAAGAAUUCCUAAUGGAUUUUGACAAGGAAUUCUAGUACAAACCUAGGAAGGAGAACUCUGUAGCUGAUGUCUUAAGCCACAAAACAGAAUUAGCUAUGGUGUGCCAACUCCAAGGGACAAUCAGAAAGCAAAUGCAUAAAGGGACUUGCAAGGAGCCUACGACACGACUCAUAAAGAAAAGCAAGACAACCAUUCUAUCUUAGUAACAAGUUAUUCCUUACCGAAGGACAAUGGUGUAUGUACCCAAAUAGGGCAACCUAUGUCAAGAACUUAUGAAGAAGUGCCAUGAUGCCAAAUGGUUGGACUAUGUUGGGCAGAAAUGGCAUUGGUGGUACUUUGAGGCUGCGUAUUACUGGCCCGAAAUGCAUGACGAUAUGUAGGCCUACGUAUGGACUUGCCUAGUUUGCCAAUAGGACAAGGUUUAAGCCUUUAACUUGAAGUGUCCCGACCCACUGGCAACAAAACUCGUUGGAUCUAAAUCACUGACCCAAAAUGUUUAAACCCAUUUAUCAGUGUUGGAGUCUCUAAUCUUUAUAUUUUAAUUAUAAUUUAUUUUUCAUCAAAUGUAAGAUUAUUGAGACAUCACAGACUCCCCUUUUUAAACCAUGAUGUCCUCGUCAAGUCACAUUCCUACCCCAAGAUUACUAGGAGAUGUGAGACCCAUCUCACACUCCCAAUUAGUGAACUAGCUCGGAUACUAAAUAUAACGAUCCGACCCACUAACAAUAAUAGCUUGUUGGGCCCAAAUCACCAGACCAAAAUGCUUCAACCUAGUUAUUUGUACUAGAGUCUCUAGUCCUUUCCAAUCAUUAUUCCUUUCAUGUCCGAUGUUGUACUAUUAAGGCACCAACACAAUGUCCUUGAUCUUUGUCUUACACCAACCUGUCUAUGAGAAUGCCUUUCCAUGUACUUCAUCUUUGCAUUUCCAAAUGUAGGAAAAUUAAGGUCUAUCCUUAUGGUAGCGGAUUAUUUAUCUAGAUAUGGUACCUUGAUCUCGAUACAAGUGGACUGCACGGCGGGUGAAGUGGCAUGGUUCUUUUUCAACCAUGUAGUCAAGUUAUGGAUGAUCACGAAAAAUAUUAUGAGCAGCCGCAACCUUAGGUUCACUGGCAAAUUCUGGACAAAGGUGUUCCAAAUCUUAUGGUUAAAGUUGCUCCUCUCCACUAGCUUCCACCCACGGACGGACGAACAAUCUGAGCAAGUGAAUACUUAGUUGAGAGAGUACCUCCAACACUACGUGAGUGCAAACUAUAAGCAUCGAGUGUACCAUCUCAUUGUGGCUCAGUUUUCUUGCAAUUUGUGAGACGAUGAGUUGUCAAACCACAGCCCACUCAAGCAAGUGGCAGCAAGACAACUGCUCAUACCACAUAUAGCCUGCGAUUCUCCAAUUUGCCAUGAACUUGUAAGAGAAAUGAGACAUUGCAAGAGCCUACCUAGAGAAAGCAACCCAAAGGAUGAAAUAGUAGGCUAAUGAAAAGCAACGGCCCCUAGAGUUCACUAAGAGUAACCAAGUCUUGGUCAAGCUGUAGCCCCAACAGUUCAAAGCUUUGCACAAGGCAUACCGGGGGUUAUUGCUCAAGUUCGAGGGCCCAUUCACUAUCACCAAACGAGUAGGCAAGGUGGCUUACAAGCUGCAAUUGCGUUUUAACUUGCAGAUUCAUCUAGUCUUGCAUGUUAGCUGCUUGAGGCCAUACCAUUAGGAUGUGGAAAAUCCGAACGGCGACGUGCCCAACGCAUUCCAAGCACCAGACCACGUCUUUUGACAAGGCACCGGCACUAUAUGAAGUCGUAUACUUCUAUCAAGCAUAAAGUACCUAGUGAGUGGAAUGAUCUUUUGCACGGUAAGGCUAGCUGGGAGAAAAAGGACGAGGACGCCCGCACAUUAGGUAGGAGAGGUUGUCUUGGAACUUAGAAUUUUCUUACCUACCUAUCCUAUUUUGCAAUCAAUUAAACUCCAAAAAGGGACAAUUUUUGGAGGUUUAGCUGAAUCCUUCCAAAAACUACUCUGAAAGCUCGAAACUAUAGGUGGAAAGCCGAAGAGUGAUAGGUCACCUUACAUUUUCUAGAAGCUAUAAAUAUAGUAAUUAGAAGUUGUGGCCUCCCCUUUUGGCUUCUACCUUUGCGCCACUUUGUGCCUUUUUAUUUUUUGUCUGCCACCACGAAUGACGCACCUCGCAGGGUCGAUGGAUUUUGGCCGUAGGGUAGUAUUCAUGAUUCAGAUUAGUAUUUAUACGUAUAUGGGUAUCAGGUAUUGCAGGUCCAUGGCUUCCAAUAGAUGCAAGCAUCUAUUGUUAAUUACUCGCUGUAGAUUGGGGUACCUUCGAUUAAGAGACCUUCAUGGAGAGGGUGGGAUGAAUCUUAUCUUGAUUUAUUGAAUCCUAAGUAUAUGUAUUAGGAUUCAGUUGGAUUUGAAAUUGACUAGGUCCUAAGUAUAUGUGUUAAGAUCUAGUCGAUAUUAAACUCUAUGUAUUAGAGUCUAAUUGGCUCUAAGUAUAUGCCUUAGAGUUCGAUUAUAUUCACUUUGGUCGUAUAUUCCAAGGUGGAGAUGUGUCCAUACCCCAAAUAUAUGUAUUGAGAUAGGUCGGAUUUGAUAUUAUCCGAAAGUAGGGAGUGGCUAAUUUAUGAGUGUAAGUAUCAGGAUUAACCGAGUUUAAUAUAUUUUUCACUCUACUUAUAUGUUCUAAAGUAAGGAUCUGACUAAGCCCUAAGGUAUUGCGUUAAGGUUCGUCGGAUUUGAUUUGCAUGAGCUCUUAGUAUAUGUAUUAGGGCUCAAUUUGGUAUGGAUUUUACUCUAGGUAGAUAUGCUAGAGCAAAAGGUUGACUAGACCCAAAGUGUAUGUGUUAGGACCAGUCAAGCUUAGUUUGACUUCGACUCUAGAUAUAUGUGCUAGAGCAAAAGGUUGACUAGACCCUAAAGGAUAUGUAUAAAGGGUUAGUCAGAUGAACUCUAAGUAUAUGUGUUAGAGUUCGAAUAAAUUUGAUAUCAUUUGACUGAAUUCUAAGUACAUAAUUUAGAACUCUGUCGAUUUGGAGAUGAUUUUGCCUUAGUUAUAUUUGCUAAGACGAUUGACUUAGCCCUAAGUAUAUGUAUUAGGGGUAGUCGAUAUUUAAUUUUCACUCUAGGUAUAUGAGCUAGAGUAAAAAAAAGGUUCAUGAUGAACUUUGGGCAUGAAAUUUGGGUAUUGGUUCAUAAGAUUUGGAUAUUUGUUCAUGAGAUUUGGGUAUAUAGGAUUUGAACAUGAUUCAGUUCAUGAGGUUAAGAUAUAGUUCAUGUGGUUCAUAAGAUUUGGAUAUAGUUUGGUACAUGGCUCAUAGGAUUUGGUAUAUGGUUCAUGAGGUUUGGUAUAUGGCUCAUAAGGUUUGGCGUAUGAGAUUUGGUUCAUGGGAUGUGGUGUAUAGUUCAUGAGGUUUCUGUCUCAUAAGGUUUGCUGUAUGAUUCAUGAUAUUUAGUUCAUGAACUCGGGUAUGGUUUAUGGGAUUGGGUUCAUGAACUUGGUGUAUGGUUCAUGGGGUUUGGGGUUUGGUUUAUGGUUCAUAAACUUGGUGUAUUGUUCAUGAGGUUUGGUUAUGGUUCAUGAACUUGGUGUAUGGUUGUAUGGUUCAUGAGAUUUGAGUCUUGGAUUUGUUUCAUGAACUUGGAUAUGGUUCAUGGGUUUAGUAUAUGAACUUGGUUUAUGGACUUGGUUCAUGAUUCAUGGACUUGGUUCAUGAUUCAUGAACUUGGUUUAUUUGGUUCAUGAACUUGGUUUACGGUUCAUGAGAUUUGGUUCGUGAACUUGGGUAUGGUUUACGGGUUCAUGAACUUGGUGUAUGAUUGUAUGGUUCAUGAGAUUUGGUUCGUGAACUUAGAUAUAGUUUAUGGCAUUUGAUAUGGUUCAUGGGAUUUGGUUCAUGAACUUAGAUAUAGUUUAUGGCAUUUGGUUCAUGGUUCAUGAGAUUUGGUUCAUGAACUUGGUGUAUGGUUUAUGGGUUCAUGGUGUAUGGUUCAUGAACUUGGACAUGGUUCAUGGGAUAUAGUGUAUGGUUCAUGAAUUUGGUUCAUGAACUUGGAUAUGGUUCGUGGUGUUUGGUUCACGAACUUGGUUCAUGGUUUAUGGGACUUGGGUAUGGUUCGUGGUGUUUAGUUCACGAACUUGAUUCAUGGCUUAUGGGACUUAGGUAUGGUUUACGGUGUUUGGUUCACGAACUUGGGUAAGCUUCAUGAACUUGGUUCAUGGUUUAUGGGAUUUAGUUCAUGAACUUGGGUAUGGUUCGUGGUGUUUGGUUCACGAACUUGAUUCAUUGUUAGUGGUGUUUGGUUCACGAACUUGGUUCAUAGUUUAUAGGGUUUGGUUCACGAACUUGGGUAUGGUUCGUGGUGUUUGGUUCACGAACUUGGUUUAUGGUUCAUGGGAUUUGGUUUAUGAACUUGGGUAUGGUUCGUGGUGUUUGGUUCACGAACUUGGAUAUGGUUCAUGGAUUUGGUAUAUGAACUUGGUUUAUGGACUUGGUUCAUGGUUCAUGAACUUGAUUCAUUUGGUUCAUGAACUUGGUUUAUGGACUUGGUUCAUGGCUCAUGAACUUUGAGGUUUUGUUCAUGGUCUAUGGGAUUUGGUUUAUGAGAUUUGGUUUACGGUUCAUGAAAUUUGGUUCAUGAACUUGGGUUUUUGAUAUAUGACCUUGGGUAUAAGAUUUGAUUCAUGAUUCAAGGAAUUUGGGUUCAUGAGUCCAAGUUGGAUUCUUGAUUUCGGUUUUAGGUUUGGGUUUUUUACGUGGACUUGGUUUGGAUUGAGUUUGGAUUUUAUUUGUGGACUUGACAUGGGUUUUGGGUUUGAGUUCUAUUUGUAGACUGAUUUGGAUUUGGAUUUGGGUUUUAUUUGUGGACCGAUUUGGUUUUGGAUUUGAAUUUGGGUUUUAUUUGUGGACUAAUUUGGUUUGAAUUUGGAUUUGGGUUUGGCUUCUAUUUGUGGACUGAUUUGGAUUUGGAUUUCUUAUUUGUGGAUUGAUUUGAUUUUGGAUUUGGAUUUUGAGCUUGAUUUGGAUUUUGGGUUUGGGCUUUUAUGUGAACUUCGUUUUCUUUUCAAUUCUAUUUCGGGUUCGAGGAAAUUCGAUUUGGGGUCCGAAGAAAUCCUCUUUUGAUUUUGCAAUUCGAUUUGAGGUCCGAAAAAAUCCCCUUUUGAUUUUGCAAUUCGA